RNAcentral lists this long non-coding RNA (60237 nucleotides) under Malus domestica (apple). RNAcentral describes it as "long non-coding RNA (MDOM_LNC014525)". Lineage: Eukaryota; Viridiplantae; Streptophyta; Magnoliopsida; Rosales; Rosaceae. The record is from RNAcentral.
UUUAAAAAGUUAAUCCUGCUUCAUUUUACCAAAUCCAUAACCACAAAUAGAUAGUACCGAACAAUCUCCAACCGUAUCUACAUGCAUUUUCACUACAUAAAGUUGCUCGACAAGCAAGCUUACGAACAUAGAUAUGAAAUAGAAGAGUAGUACGUAUGAAACAGACAUCCUGGCGGCUUCUCGCGACGCUAGCACACUUCAAGCACUUCCUAGCUUAUAUAUAUAUAUAUAUCGAGAUUCAUACAUGAAACAAUGCAUAGCAUACAUAUCGUUAGCAUUCUUUUAAGCCGUCAGAAAGACUAAGCAUAUUUUCUUCAUCAUGACAAUCGAUGAGACUCAACCUGUUCAAAAAUCCUUAAUCAUAGAUGCUCAUAAGUUCAAAAUUUGGCUUAACCAAUGUGAAUGGCAAAGCAAAUGCAUGCACCAGCACACUAUGCAUCCAUGUAUAUAUUGAAAUAGAUUCGUGUUUGUGCUUCUUUAUACUUGGAAGCCCCUUGAUAUUAUAUAAUAUCCUUCAAAAUAUAAUUGAUGCACGACACUCAAUUUUACAAGCAAAAUGACACAAUAUAACAAAUAUUCGAAAUUGAGAACAAAGGUUUAGCAGAAAAGGAUUCAAAAUAAAACCUUAUGAAAGCCCUAAUUCAUCAUGCUUUAACUCAUCACACUAUAAUCAUGCAUAUAAGAGAACAAAUUAAUCAUGCAUAAAACAAUGAAUUGAGUUACCUAAAUGCAUCACCGGACCCAUAUUCGUUGACCAGACCGAGAUUUCUCGACCACAAAUCAACAAAACAAAUUAUCCAUCAAUCCUCGAGACCCAUCCAUGUGGAUUGUCAUCACCGCAGAUUCCAGUGGACCCGUAUCAUCGCAGAUUAUCGAAAUACAUCGCCAUUGUUACAGACCCGCCGAACCAAAAUCAUCGCCAAAGUGAUGGCCCAAAUCCCGUCGACACAAAUUCCCAGAAAAAAGAUAAACUGUAAACGUUAAUAUCUCUUGGACAAACAAAAAACUUAUUAAUGUCUUCAAACCAAGAUUUCAUCUUUCUUUUAUCUUACUUAUAUUUGGUAUGUACAAGGCAUAUUUUAUGAACAUCUUUAUAAUCAAAUUCAUUAAUCCAAACCGAUUAGACCCACGAAAACAAUAGCUUAUGUACUCGCAUUCCAUAAUUACCCAAUGAAUCCUUGAUUACUUCUUAUAAAAAUUCAUCAUCAUGGAAUCAAACACACAUAAGAAAAAUUAGUAGCUGCUGAAGCUUAAUAGUUCAAUUUUACCAAAUUGAAUUCAACAUUUAGCCAUCAUUCGUUUGGCAGGCAAUCACAAAUAUUACAAACCCAUAUUGCGGCAAACAUGAUAUGCAUAUAACUCAAAACCUACAUAUUAUCUCACAAAAUAAGCUUGACCACUGCUAAUUUACCAUCACGUCUUUUGUUGUUUUUUUUUUUUUUUUUUUUUUUUUUUUUUAACUUUCAAUUUGAAUUCAAGAGCAACAAUCUUAGGCUCUGAUACCACAUGUAAGAUUAAACUUAUCAAAAAUAUAAGUUAAGAGAUUAAGCUCAUGAACCACAAAUUUAUUCAAGUAUUAAAAUCAUAAUUCGAUAAACACAAUGACAAACUAACUCAUAAACGCAGUAGAAGAAGAAGCCAAAGCAGACUUCUAAACAGUGCACCUUCUCCUCUCUUGCAAAACCAAAAGUACUCAAACUAACAAUAUGUCUUAGUUCAAUAUUGAGCGUGUAUUUUGUGAGAGCAGUGACCACUGUUUAUAAUAUAUUAAUCCUAAUAAUUCUCCUAUUAGAAACACCAUAGAUACCAACUAUGAAUCCAAAUCAUAUCUGAAUUACAAUCCUACAAGAAUUAGGAUAGUUUUAAGCUUUCUAGCCAGACUUUUCUAUAUCAAUUGAAACACUACAACCGGCUAUAAUAUUCAGUUUCAUACUCAUAUUCUAACAGUUGGCAGUCUCCAAUUGUUUACAAUUUGAAUGCAAAGUCCAUUCGUUGGAUUUGUGUCUAUUAAUGUAAAUUUCAUUUUGAUUUCAACCAUUCAAAUUAAUUAUCUUUCUCAUCAAUGGAUAUGACUAUCCGAUAUAUCACGACGUCAUUAAUUUAGGGAUUACCAUACCACAAAGUGAGUUUCCCCCAACUCAUAAUAAGUCAUAGUAAAAUCAAUUUGACUUUGUGUUGACAACAAAACUGACGUUGCCUUAAGUUGAACUCAUUUUAGAUGAGUGAAGAUAAAAUGAGAAACUAUAUCUUCACACAUUUCUACUUCUUAAAGCAUGAAAAGUGAUUUUAUUGAUAGCGUUAAAAGCAACCACAAUGUUAGCGAAUUGUGGGGAUGACUUACCUAUGGCUUACCUAUCUUUGAGAAUAAUAUAUACUUAAAGAAGAAAUAAAAAAUAAUUUGUAUCUUUUGAAGUGAGUGAGUUUAAGGUAUUGAAGGGUUUCUAACAUUUUGAAAAAUACUUCAAAUGUGGGGGUAUUUACCCAAGCAUAGGCAAAUUACUUAGUAAUUAAGUCCUAAUAUAUGUUUGGAUGACUUAACAAAAGAAAUCAACUACUCUCAAAUCAAACUCAUUUACAUGCAUGGAUGAGUUUUGAGAUGGCCAUAUAGUAUGAGUACAUGAUGAGAUCCAUAGUCAUUGUAGUACGCACAUGAUGAGAUCACAAAGUCAUCUUAGGAAUUUCGAAUUAAUUUCACAAAUGGGUAGACCGAAAAAUUAAGAUCUUUAUUACAAAGCAUAAACAAGCCAAGAAAAGCAGAAAAAAAAAUGGUAACCCUAGCUACUGCAGAUGGUUACACUUGGAACCCUCAUCACAAAGCCUGGUGCAUUUAUCACUAAGAUUGGACUGGAGCUUACAAAUGCCUUGUCCUGCAAAGAAUCUUCCUACAAGCCACAACCAUGAUGGCGGAAACGCCCAAAAAAAAAGCCAAACAAACAAACAAUAAAAACAUAUGUUUGAGCUUUCUCCAACCAUCAACAUGAGUUCCAGCGGGUGACGAAUCAUCAACAUGAGUUCCAGCGGGUGACGAAUCAUCAACAUGAGUUCCAGCGGGUGACGAAUCAUCAACAUGAGUUCCAGCGGGUGAAGAAUCAUCAACAUGAAUUCCAGCGAGUGCCGAAGCGUGAGAAGGUUGCCCGGGUGCCGAAGCGGGAGAAGGUUGCCCCUGGGUGGCGGAGGGGGAGAAGGUUGAACUUGUGGUCGGUUUCUGUAACUGUAAGCGGACUAGCUCAGCAUUCAAUUCAUCGUAACUAUUCCAGCAGUCAUCUCGAUGGGAGAUUGUAUUAAUAUAUUCACGUCCAAUCAAAUACAAUGCAACCAAAUUAGGGCAGGCAGGUAAUAAAGAAAGGGAGAUGAGCAGCCAACUGUCACUGCAUGUGAAGACCUUGGCACUAUUAACAAUUGCCCCCAAAAUGACUCCCUGAAAGACCAGGUAGAAGUUUCCAAGUUGGAAGGCGCUUGAUUGAAGAUGAUUGAGACGAGUAUCAUGUUCCCGAAUUACAGUUUGAAAAUCUUCCAUUUGCUUCCUGAGCUGUUCAAUUGAAUCACCUUGUCCAUUUGUUUGGUUGUUAGACAUGAUAUAUAUAUGCACUAUAUAUUUAGCCCGUCUCGCUACGAUGUAAGUGUUUGUGCGUAAUCCUAUGACCGUAGCUGAAGGCUAAACUCUGUUUGUGGGAGAGAGAGAGCUGCAGACAAUGCGUAAGUGAGGGUCAUUAUCUCAUCUGAAAGCUAAUAUAUAUAGAGGCACAUAUACGUAAGAUUCUAACCUUGACCAAGUUAUAAGCUCACUUGCUAUUUACCUCAGAAAACUUAAGUAGUUAAUAAUUACAUUUUUUUUAAAGAACGAACAAAUGACUAUCUCUAACUCGAAAUUUUUUAUUGUGACGGGAACAUAAUAGUACAUCACGUGUUUUUAUGUAAGUGGUGAGAAAUUUUAUUUUUUAAGUUAUUAACUUUUUUAACAUGCAUAUCUCAUUAUUUAUAUAAUGACACGUGAUGUAUCACCUCGUGUGCCGAUCAUACUGAAAAAUAUCUCCAAAGACUUAAGCCCUAAUAUAGAAUUGUACAUGAAACUUUGGUCCAGCUAGUCUUUGUAGAAACUCUUCGGUGAGGGUGUCGCGAGGUCCAGCGUGUCGGGUUACUUAAUAAAUCAAAACGCAAGGGGGGCUAUGUGUGUGUGUAUGAGAAUGUGGAGGCAAAGACUCACACGGGCCAAAUGGAAUCGAUUUGGGAUUAAUAUAGUUGUCCAAUCGGACAAUAAACACAUGUUGCCGGCAAAUUUGUCUUGGGCACAGCUACUAGUUGUUGGAAUUUGAUCCCCUCCAGAGCAAAUGGUGGGGAUCCUCAUGACCAACAAACACGGGUCGUUGGAUUUUGAUCAAACGGUUAUAAACAGAGGGUCCUUCUAAAAGUUAUAAUAAUUGUAUCCGUUAGAUCAAAAUUCAACGGCCCAUGUUUGUUGGUCAUGAGGAUCCCCACCAUUUGCUCAGGAGGGGAUCCAAUUCCCUAGUUGUUUACUAAAAUUUGUUUGUAACUAACUUUUAUAUUUAGGUAAUGCUAGAGAGACUAAAUGAUGCGUCACUAAUAGAAAUACGCACGUUUACAUAUACUUAAGUAAUGAACCAAUCAUCAACUUCCAUGUCUUUUAGUUUUUAAAAUUUUGUCUACAAAUUUAAUCUUCCUAGCAUUACUCUUUAUAUUUUUAUCAUGGCAUUUUGUUAGUUUUUGAGACAUUUUAUUCUAGCUUUUUAUUCUCUCGUACACUUGUAUAUUAAAAAUGGUAAACUUACUAAGCGGGUCCGGAAAAUGUGGAUAACCGUAGCUUGUCACUCAUUGUCCUUUUUUUUGAGAAGAAAAAAAACUAAUAUGAUACAAUAUAAUUGAAUUUAUACACAAGCAUAUGACAAAAUUAAGAAAAAUACAAAAUAAAUUAUAUAUACGAAAAGUUUGAGAAUAUAAAAUAAAAUAAAAAUAAAAAGACCAAUUAAAUAUAUGAAUUCCAAGAUAUGUUGAAAAAAUUCCCAGAUUACUCCUAUUUCGAAAGUUUUGAAAUCCAAUUCGAGCUGAAACUUUUGGAAUGAAAGUGUUUAUACCUAAUUUUGCAUUAUCAGUCCGUUUAAAUGAGGCCAUAGGAUGACUCCCAAAAUAAAGAAAUUUUUUUUCUACAUUACUAUUGAAUUAUCAUAGUAAUUAUAUGGAAAGUAUUUUGGAACUUGCAGAAUUGUGGUGUGCGUUGGAUUCUAUUAAAGUUAAUUAUCAAUUACUCAGUUUAACUUGAGAUAAUGACUGCAAGGUUUGAAAUUUGAAUGGGUGAGGACUACGUCCUACGACAGUGUGUGUAACGUAAGUUGUGUUGGAAGACUAACUCCAUGCAAUUAAUUGGUACAUCCUAGAGUCCAAUUAACUAAAGACGCUGUCAUGCAUGUUAACGGCGGCAUGCAUGGGAUAAUUAGCACAAGGAUGAAAGAUAGGGCUAAAACUAGCAAGCGGUGGUGAUGUAAUAAUGAUUAUCACACUGCAUAAGUUAAUGCGUGGUGGUUUUCAUAGAAGAGGAGAUCAGCUUCCAGGAGGCAUGGUGCUAUAGAAAUUGCUUUUACAGUUUAUCAUCCAAGGUAUAUAUGUCCUGAUGUCCUUAUGAAUACGAGAGGUUUUGCAAGGACCUUCAACUAACGCACAAAUAAAUGUUCUAUUCCAAACCCUCUUACACCCGUGAGAAAAAAAAAACUAUUUGCUCCAGUAAUAUGUCAACACAAAUUUAGUUUAGUUAAACAUCAUCGGAGUCAUAGAAUCAAUUCGGUUUAGGAGUCUCUUUAGUUUGGUUAAACAAUAUUUUCUCCUUUUUCGACUGGUUGUCUAUCUGAAGUCUUAGCAGGCAAAAAGUUUUUGAUUUUUUGUUUGAAAGAGGGCACUUCAUUAGCUUUUCCAGUGAAGUGAGGUAUUCUAUGAUCAAUUAUUAACAAGUGCAUUUUUUGGUUCAGCAUGCAUGCAGAUGGCCGAAUUAUCUUUACCAUAAAGAUGCUUAUUUCUUUUGAGUAUCUUUGUACCUAUAGCUUGAUUCAUGUCCAGCAUAAAUUAUUCUCACCAAUACAGUGGAGGCCACCGAACCUGGUGCAGAAGAUUAAACUUCACAGUGAAAGGCAUAACUUUGUCUUCAGGUUUUACAACGCUAGGCCGAGAGUAUUUAUUUUUUGGUCGAAGUUGCUCGUUGUAAAGCUUGCGGUUCAUCACAACACCACUAUAUCCAUCUUAUUUGCCCGACUCAGUUCGGUGGUUAGUGGCACUCCGAAUCAAUAAUCAUUUACAGAAAAACAUAGUUAGAUUAAUAAUUAGGCCUACGUGCCUGACAGACUUCGUAAUUUUUAAAGUCAACAGAAAGAAACAUUGUUUCCGAUUCCCCUAAUCAUCUUACGACUUAAAACCCAUGAGCCAACGGUGGUAGUGAGUCCAAAUAUCCAAAUAUUUAAUUCCAUUGAGCAUCGACCCGAACAACCGAGUGGUUAAGAUUCUUAAGAAAACAUAAAAUUUUGAUUUGCAGCUGUCAGAUGUUUAAGCACUUAAAAUAAACUCUCUUGAUUGGCACCAACCGCGUGUACCAACUAGUUUACAGCUGAGGGGGUAAGGUUCCGCUUAAGUUUCAACCAAUUAUCAUUUCUCAUAUAAAUAUUCAGUCUAUUAUCAUUUUAUAAUGUUGGCACGAAAAAUACUAAACUCUCUUGAUUGGCGCCAACCGUGUGUACCAACUAGUUUACAGCUGAGGAGGCAAGGUUCCGCUUAAGUUUCAACCAAUUAUCAUUUCUCAUAUAAAUAUUCAGUCUAUUAUCAUUUUAUAAUGUUAGCACGAAAAAUACUAAAAACAUAAGAUGACGGAGAGUCUAUAGAGAGACCCUUUUUCUAUAUAGAAUUUCCUUAAUGUUUCCCUAUUUAUAUUUCUACUUUUACAGAAACUACUACUUCAAAAAAUUUUUUACUCCUAAGUUUUAGGUGCCUGGAGUGGUCCACUGGUCCCCCUGCUCACUCUAGGUCAGAGCCGGCCUUAUUUUGGGCUUAACUUGUUUCGGUUGAACAUUUUGGCUGGGUAAAUUACAUUUUACCACCUCAAGUUUGUGAUCGAUUUCAAUUCCUUACAACAUUUUUAAAGCAUUUCAAUUUCAUACAUUUACUAUCAUUUUAUUUCAAUUUCAUACAUCCGUUAGAAAAUCCGUUAAGUGAUGACGUGGCUGCCAAAUUUUGUGCCACAUGGCAAAAAUAAUAAUUUUUAUGCAUUUAAAAUAUUAUAAUAAUUUAUUCUAUUUCAAAAAAAAACACCCAUCUUUUAGCACACCCCCAUCCCACCCCACACCACCUGCAACCCCCCCCCCCAAAGCUUGGAAUAUGGCUUUGAGAGAGGAGGUGGUGACGGCCGGGUCCAAAUUGAAAAUGACAAUUGUGCCCUGGUUGUGGUCUGGGAUGGCUUUCAAGGCUGGAAUGACGAAUUGGGCCCACACGGCCCACCCGGCGAUGAGCCCGCAACCUGGAAGAAACAGAAGCGGGAAAAUAAAAAGUGGUAAAUCUGAUGUAGCCGUCGUGAACAAUAAGGCGGCGUAAUGGUUGCGAAUCUUGUUUUCCUACUACAUGUGCUGCUGCCGAAUCUUGUUCAACGCCCUCUCUACAUGCCUGAGAUCGUAGAAGUGGACGGUCACGAAUCCCCUUUCCAGGGAUCUGGAAGUCCAUAAUCCGGUGCUCGAGGGUGGGUUUUGGGUGGGGUGGGGGGUUGCGGGGGAGGUGGGGUGGAGAGGGGUUUGCAGGUGGGGUGGGGGUUGGAUGGGGUGUGCUCAGUGAAGAAGAUGGGUGUUUUUUUUUUUUAAUAUGAUAAAUUAUUAUAAUAUUUUAAAUGCAUAAAAAAUUAUUAUUUUUGCCACGUAGCACAAAUUUGGCAGCCAUGUCAUCACCACGUCAUCACUUAACGGUUUACUUAACAGAUUUUCUAACAGAUGUAUGAAAUUGAAAUAAAAUGAUAAGUAAAUGUAUGAAAUUGAAAUGUUUUAAAAAUGUUGUAAGGAAUUGAAAUCGACCCCAAACCUGAGGGGGUAAAAUGUAAUUUACCCUAGAUUUUAAUAUGCAAGUGUGGAAUAAUUUGUUCGCUUGUGUUGUUGUGCAUGUUAGACUUAAUAGAGUUAGCCUUUGACAAGGAUCACAAUAUACACAUGUAUAUAUGCAUAUAUACAUACAAUGUGCUAGAAUUGCAGACAAAAUGGAGUUGUUAUAGAAACAUGCAAAUUUCGUUGCAUACAAAUGAUACAUCGCCAAACUCCACAUGGCAUAUGACUUAUCACAAAUAGAUAAGUCAUCAAUAUGGCACAAAUCAAGCAAAGGAAGUACAAAACCUUCCUAAAACUCGGCAAAAGGGAGUCAUCAAUGACAAAUGGCACAAAUCAAGCAAAGGAAGUACAAAAUCUCUCUUGAAAUCAGCAAGAGGGACAAAAUCUCUCUUGAAAUCGGAAAGGGGAUCCAAAUUGCUCCCUAAACUGGAAAAAAAGCUAAAGCAUCUUCAUAAAAUAAGCAAGAAUUAAAGAUUGCUCACAUAAUAGACAAGAAGUCCUAUAAUUUGGCAAGGAUAAGAUAGAGUGGCCAAAACAAGACACAAAACAUGUCUAGAUUCUUCCAUGGACGAAUUAAGCCACAAAUCAAGUACAAAUCCAUUUGUAAGCAAGACUUGAGAAGUCUAUAAAUACAAGGUCCCAGGACAAACAAAAGGUCGGUAAUUCUACAUCCAGAGGAACCUCUGCACCAAAUCUUUGAAAACUAAUACGCUGCUAAAGCUCUCUUUGAAGAACGCAUGACCAAAGCCGAAGCAUUCCCUUGAAGAAUCAACAAGCACUUGUGCCGAUUCCUUCAAGACUUUGUUCCAAGCUCAAAACUUGUAACAAUGUUUGAUUCAAGAUCAAGUCGCCAAGACCCUUGAAUCAACAAAAUCCCACGUCUACAUCACCUUUGUCGCAAGUUACACAUAAACCUUGAGGUAAAGACUAUCCACGCAUUGUUUCAAGCUCAAAACUUGAAGUAAUUGUUCAACAGUUCGUCCGAGAUCAAGUCAUCACAAUCCUUGGAUCAAUAAUUUACACAUCCACACAUCAAAUUUGAAGACUAAAUAAGAGGAAACUUGUAAACAGAGAUUGUAACCUUACAAAUUCAUUAAUACAAAUUUACUUUGUACACGUGUUCUUGUUUCAUUCGUUACAGAAUUGUCGUGUUUAUAAAUUUGGCACACCCAGUGGGACAUCUCUGCCUCUCAUCUAUGUCUUCAGAUUCGCAAGAACCAAGUAAACAACAACAGAUAAAGUAAAAGGUCUAAGCAAAAUGAGAGUUGCAGCUCAAGAUACAACGGGAUAUCCACACAAGCUUUAGGCCCGAACACUGCAAAAGAAAAUAACACAAAAAAACCCUAAUCCCAAGUAGCAUAAACCAUACUGUCGCCACAGUCACAACCUCGGAGGAAGCCAAAAUCCGAAUCGAAAGGGUAUACACAAGAUCCAAGUCCCAUUCAUGAACCCCCUACAAAUAUAUACAAAUAAAGUAUCAUACAUGUAAAGUGUGAGGCUAAGGGUAUGUAAAAUACCCAACACUUGUCCCCGAUGGGGAUUCAGCAUGCAGUUAGGGAGGAAAGUGGAUAUGAUAUCAAAUUUUUUAUUGGAUAAGGAUGAAGUAUCACGGCUAAGAAGAAGGGAUGAAAGAAAACUAAAUGACAGAAAGUAGUAAAAGCAGGCAAAAAAUGCUAGAUAAGGAUCAUGAAGCCCAAAUUUGAGACAAGCUCAGGGAAUAGUUGAGACUCAGCUCAGGGAAAAUGAGAAAAAAACUCAGGGGAGAACAGAGAAUAAAAACAAAUGAAUGAGACUAGAAAGGGAGAAGGAAGAUGAGUUGGAUGCUAUAAGGGGAAGGGGGAACGAGCAAAGGUAAUGAAAGGGGAGGAAAAUAAGGAAAAGGAAAAUGAGAGGGGAGGGAAGGAGGAGUAGCGGGCUGUCGCCUAUCCCGAGCGAAUGUAAGGUAUUCUAAUGUGACAAACCCUACCCAUCUUAUAGUUUGCCAGGUGUCUCUUAAAUUACUUCUAGUUAACUUUUUAAUUAAACAAUCACUUUUAACUUUUAAAAUAAUUUUAAAACCAAACACAAAAAAACUUGAAAAAUAAAAUAAAGGGAAAUCUCAUUUUACUACCCUGAAGUAUUUUGGUUUUCAACAUUUCAUAUAUCAAAUUUUUUACGUCCCAGUGUGGUACCUAAAGUCAUAAUUCAGGGACACUUUCAUACAUCCGUUAAGUUUUAAGUUAGAAUCUCCGUUAACGGAUGAUGUGACACCCAUGUGGACAAUGAUUGGGUGCCACAUGUCAAUAUAGGCUACAUCCAUCAAACCUUUUGUGAUAACAAUUUCAUGAUCUCAUCACCAUCGUAUAUCUAGUACCAGAUUUCAAAGCCAUAACCAUGGGUGUGCAUGCUAGAGCAUUUAGCAAAAGAAAUACGUUAAAUACUUCGUUAUAUUAUUCAUUCUCUAAGAAAACUAAAUCCUAAAGAUUACAUAUCCUAAUCUUACUUAAAAUAGGACUCCAAUAACAUUUACAAUUAAGACUCAAAUCAACACUCCCCUCAAGUUGGUGCAUAAAUAUCGUACAUGCCCAACUUGAUAAUUGAGUCUUGGAAAACCUUACUAGGUAUUCCAUGAGUAAGAAUAUCAGCAAACUGCUCUCCUGAAAUCGCAAACGGUAUAGACACAAUUUUCCUUGUCAAAGUGUCGAUCAACCUCCACAUGCUUUGUUCAAUCAUGUUGUACCGGAUUAUCAGUUAUCUCCCUUGCAUAUUUAUUAUCACAAUAUAAUACCUAGAUAAAAUACGCCAACCAGAUUACCUCUAACAAACAUAAAAUACCUAGAUAUAGACUGUCUGGCAAUAACAUUACCAGCCCAAUUUACAUCUGUAAACCUUUCAACCUUUAAAUGCCCAUGUUUUCCAUAAAGUAUUCCUUUACCGGGUGCAGACUUCAAAUAUGUCAAAAUUCACAUUACCGCAACCAUGUGAUAUUCACUGAUGAGUUCAUGAACUGACUUACAACACUCACAACAUAUGCAAUAUCAGGACGAGUAUGAAAUAAAUAAAUUAAUCCCUAUCAACACUCACAACAUUCACAAGUCUUUGGUAUCUACCCCUAUCAACAAGAAGUUGAUCUGGGUAAACACCCAAGUGAUGCUUAUCUACCAUAGAAGUAUCCACAGGUUUACACCCUAACAUACAAGUUUCUUUUAACAAAUCCAACACAUAUUUUCGUUGUGAUCAAAAAAUACCUUUAGGUGAAUGGGCCACCUCAACUCCAAGGAAGUACUUCAAUUAUCCCAAAUCUUUCAUCUCAAAUUUAGAUGCAAGAUUUACAUGUAACUUUUGAAUUUCUUCGGAAUCAUCCCCUGUAAUAAUCAUAGCAUCCACAUAAAUGAUUAAAGCAGUCAAUUUGCCAAGCCUGCGCUUCAGAAACAAAGUGUGAUCUGAAUGACUCUAACGAUAUCCAUAUUUCUUCAUUGCUUGAGUAAACCUAUCAAACCAAGCACGGGAAGAUUGUUUGAGCCCAUAAAGAGAUUUACACAUUAUGCACACUAAUGUAUUACCAUUCACAUCAUAUCCUAGUGGAAAUACCAUAUACACUUCCUCUUCUAAGUUCUCAUGAAGAAAUGCAUUCUUCACAUCAAACUGUUUAAGAGGCCAAUCCAUAUUUGCUGCUAAGGAAAUCAAGACUUGUACCGUAUUCAUUUUUUGCUACCGUAGAAAAGGUUUCUUGGUAAUCUACAACAUACGUUUGAGUCUACCAUUUAGCCACUAACCUUGCUUUGUACUUAUCUACUGAUCCAGCAACCUUGUAUUUGAUUGUAAACACCCAACAACAACCAACAGGUUUAUUCCUUUUUGGUAACUACACUAUCUCCCAAGUUUUAUUUUGCUGCAAAGCUGACAUUUCUUCAUCCAUCGCUUGUGUCCACUUAAGGUCUCAUAGGGCUUCUUCUACUUGAGCUAGAAUUUUGGUUAAUUCCAUAUGAUUUACCAACGCCCUACGUUCAGGUGAGUAGCGCUCACAUGAUACAUAAUUAGCAAUCUGAUACUUGACAUUCCCUUCCACAGAGAACUUGCCAGAUGGCACACCACGAUUCUGUCUUACUGACAAUUUAUAAGUACUUACAAUAAUAUAAGGAUUAGUUGUAGUAUCAUUUAAAGUACUUACCUCUUGAAUAUUCAAAGGAGAUGGAACGGGCACGACAUGAUCAUAGAGAUAAGGGAUACUACAGACAUACUGGGCAAUUUUGCAAAUUCCUGCUAAACAGAGUUGUAUUGUUCUGUAUAGCACUGCCAAUCUAGGUGGUACUCUUCGAUAGAACUCUGUCGAACAUCUCUGAUUUCUUCGGCUGGACUAUUUGGUUUGAUGGAAGCUUGCUGAACUGAAAUGUUAGGUUCGGUAGGCUCUGGUCAAACAACUGGGCGGAUUUCCACCACUUCGGUUUCUCCCCCUGAAGUAUAUUUCAGCCAACUUAGAUCACCAAUAUCACUAAUAUCCCCUAGUGUUCUGAAUUGGAUACAGAAGAAGAAUAAAAAUAUUCAGACUCCGAGAAGGUCACAUCCAUAGUUACAAACAUUUGUUAACUAGCAGGAUGAUAACAUUUGAAUCCCUUCUUAUGUGGGGCAAAUCCAAGAAAGACAUAUUGGAAUGCACAACGAUCAAGCUUACUACACUGAGCUUUCUGAAUGUGAACAUAGAUCACACAACCAAAGAUCUAAGGUGACAAAGUAUUUGAAGAAACCAUUGGAAUAUGUUGAGUAAGUUCUUGAAGUGAUGUUCGAUAGUUCAAGACCAGAGAAGGCAUACAGUUCAUAACAUAAACUACAUGUACAACUGCUUCAUGCUAGAAACAUUUGGGAACAGAUGCACCAAUAAGCAUGAGUUGUCUCCAAAAUAUGACGAUUCUUCAUUUCCGCCACCCCAUUUUGUUAGGGGUAUGCGGACAUGUAGUCUCAUGAAUAAUAGCACGAUCUUGUAGAAAACGAUAACUCAGAAUUUAUGUACUCUCCACCAUUGUUAGAACGCAAAACUUUAAUAUCAUAGGAAUAUUGAGUUUUAACCAUUUAAUGAUACAGACAAAAAACAUCACAAACCUAACUUUUAUUUUUCAACACAUACAACCACGUCAUACAGGUGCAAUCAUCCACAAAGGUAACAAACCACUUAAUUCCCGAAGUAGUACUAAUAGGGGAAGACCACACAUCAGACGCAUGCCCCAAACGACGAUGCAAUAACAAUACAUUAUGUAGAUUACUAUCAUGUGACACACAAACCAAAUUAGCUAUUCCAGAAACCACGUCAUCCACAUAAUAUAGCCCUUCUCACUUAGUGCCACGUCCAAGGAUCAAUUUGUAUGAAUAUCCUGAAGCAAGCAAAAGGAAAGAUCCAUUAAUACAACACAAUCCAAUUGUUCAGUAACUUAUGGUACCGACAAUAAAGGAUGGGACAAUGACGGAACCAAUAAACAAUUAUGUAAGGUGAGAGAGGGUGUAAGACAAAUUGUUCCUACUCCAACAACAGGAGCAGUAGUACCAUUGGCAGCUGCCACACACUUUCUAUGAGAAUGUUUUAUAAAUUGAAACAAAACUUUAUCAUAUGUCAUAUGAUACGUUGCAUCGGAAUCCAAAAUCUAACAUGUGUUCGCCAUUACAAUAACACGCGACUAGACAAAAAGAAUUGCACACGAGACCUAGUUGCAGCAGAAUACUUCUACGUGGUAGUGCAAUUGCUUAAGCACAACAAUCGUACAUGGUAGAAUUGUAAUCACACACAAAAAAUUAAUUGCUCUUUGACACGCUGGACCAAGGCAGCAGGCAGCGGCAUAUUUUUUUUCCUUUUUACUGGAGUACGCAUGUCACAGAGAGCAGCAAAAACACACUGCACAAUCAAUUGCUCACGUUACAGGCUUACAGUAAGUGGUAAAAGACCCCACGGCAUAAAGAACAUGUACUCUGACAAUAUGUCGCAACCAAUUAUAAAUCGAACAAGGAUUAUUUGCCCUCCCUUUUUUCAUACCCUUUCAUGCCUUGUUGUUUAUGUGGUCACGGUUUAGUCAUGUCAACAUUUUAUAUUACUAUUCUUUUUUGUCUUAUUAUCUUUAUAAAAAAAUAAUAUAAAAUGUUAACGUGGCUUAACCGUGAUCACACAAAACAGGAGGGCAUAAAAAAAGGAAGGGCAGACAAUCCUUGUCCUUGUAAAUCUGCACCAAUAUCAAUAUGCAAUUGCACAUCAAUUACAAGGAGGCAAAUUCUCUGCCCUCCCACUUCCUGUGCUCUCCUAUUUGUGUGGUCACGAUUAAACAACGUCAACAUUUUAUAUUACUAUUCUUUUUUGUCUUAUUAUCUCUAUAAAAAAAAAUGGAGUUUUAACAAAACAUUCCCGGUACUAUUCACUUUUAACGAAAAACUAUAUUUAUACAUUUGCAUGGUACUAUUCACUAUACCUUUAAAAAUGACUUUUCAUUAAAAUUGAAGUUUUUUUGGGCUUUUCGUUAGUUUUUCUUAAAAAAAAAAGGGGUUAAACUCUGUUUACCCUCAUGUUUCGUGGUUUUCAACAUUUAGUACAUCAAGUUUUUUUUGUCCCAGAGUCAUACCUAAAGUGUUAAUUUUGGGACAGUCUCAUAUAUCUGUUAGUCAAACUGUUAGUUCUCCCGUUAAGUGAUGACGUGACGCCUAUAUGGACAAUGACUGGACGCCACGUGUCAUUAAAAAAAUAUUAAAAUAAUUAAUUUAAAAAAAAAACACAUUCCUUCUUCUUCUUCUUCCUCCUCCUCCUAGAUUCGGAAGAUUCGGUUUUUUUCUUCUUCUUCUUCUUCCCAUAUUCGGUUUUUUUUUUUAUUCUUCUUCUUUCUCCUCCUCCUUCUUUUUCUUCUUCCUUCUUCUUCUUCUUCUUCUUCUUCCCAGAUUCGGUUUUUUUUUCUUCUUCCUCUCUUCUUCUUCUUCUUUUUAUGGGUUGGGGGGGGGGGAGGGAUGAGUUUUUUUUUAAUUUUUUUUAUAACUUUUAUUUAAUUAAUUAAUUUAAUAUUUUUUAAUGACACGUGGCGCCCAAUCAUUAUCCAUAUAGGCGCCACAUCAUCACUUAACGGGAGAACUAAUAGUUUGACUAAUGGAUGUAUGGGACUGUCUCAAUUAACACUUUAGGUAUGACUAUGGGACGAAAAAAACUUGAUGUACUAAAUGUUGAAAACCACGAAACAUAAGGAUAGUAAACAAAGUUUAACCCAAAAAAUUAAUAUAAAAUGUUGGUGGCUUAACCGUGACCACACAAAACAGGAGGGCAUGGGACGGCACGGGAAGUGGGAGGGUAGAGAAUCUCCUAAUUACAAUUGCAAAGUAGCCAGCCAAUCCUUCUUUUCUUUUUGGGUAAAAGACUGUUUACUACCCUCAUGUUUCAUGGUUUUCAACAUUUAGUACAUCAAGUUUUUUUCGUCUCAGAGUCAUACCUAAAGUGUAAAUUUUGGGACAAUCUCAUACAUCCGUUAGUCAAACUGUUAAAUUUGUCGUUAAUUGUGACGUGGCGCCCAUGUGGACAAUGACUGGGCGCCACGUGUCAGCCACGUUUUUUUUUUUUUUUCUUUCUUUUCUUCUUCUUCUUCUUCUUCUUCUUCUUCUUCCACCCGACUGCAACAUUUUUUUUCCCUUCCUCCUUCUCAUUCCUUCCCCUUCUUCUCCAUCUUCCUUCUCUUCCUCCGAAUCUGGGGAAGUUUUUUUUUUCUUCCCUCUUCUUCCUCCUUCUUCCUUCCUCUUCUUCUUCCUCCGAAUCUGCCCAGAUUCGGUUUUUUUUUUUUGAGGAAGAUGAAGAGGAAGGAGGAAGGAGGAAGGAGGAAGGAGGAAGGAAGAAGGAAGAAGGAAGAAGGAAGAAGAAGGAGGAAGGAGGAAGGAGGAAGGAAGAAGGAAGAAGGAAGAAGAAGGAAGAAGAAGGAGGAAGAAGAAGAAGGAAGGAAAAAAAGAAGAAAAAAAGUUGCAGUCGGAGGAAGAAGAAGAAGAAAGAAGAAAAAAAAAAGUCGAAUCUGGGCAGAUUCGGAGGAAGAAGAAGAAGAAAAAGAAGAAGAAGAGGAAGGAAGAAGGAGGAAGAAGAAGAAAAAAAAAAAAAAAAAGUCGAAUCUGGGCAGAUUCGGAGGAAGAAGAAGAAGAAGAAGAAGAAGAAGAGGAAGGAAGAAGGAGGAAGGAGGAAGGAGGAAGGAGAAGGAAGAAGGAGGAAGAAGAAAAAAAAAAAAAAAAAAACGAAUCUGGGCAGAUUCGGAGGAAGAAGAAGAAGAAGGAAUAAGGAGGAAGGAGAAGGAAGCAGGAAAAAAAAAAUUCCCCAGAUUCGGAGGAAGAAAAAGGAGAAGGAGAAGGAAGAAGAAGGAAGAAGAAGGAAGAAGGAGAAGAAGGGGAAGGAAGAAGGAGGAAGGAAGAAGGAGAAGGAGGAAGGAAAAAAAAAAAAGUUUGCAGUCGGGUGGAAGAAGAAGAAGAAGAAGAAAGAAGAAAGAAGAAGAAGAAAGAAGAAGAAGAAAGAAGAAGAAGAAAGAGAAAAAAAUAAAAAUAAAAAAUUCCCCAAAUUCGGAGGAAGAAAAAGGAGAAGGAGAAGGAGAAGGAAGAAGAAGGAAGAAGGAGAAGAAGGGGAAGGGAGAAGGAGGAAGAAGGAAGAAGGAGAAGGAGGAAGGAAAAAAAAAAAAAGUUUGCAGUCGGGUGGAAGAAGAAGAAGAAGAAAGAGAAAAAAAAAAAAAAUUCCCCAGAUUCGGAGGAAGAAAAAGGAAAAGGAAGAAGAAGGAAGAAAAAGGAGAAGGAAGAAGAAGGAAGAAGGAGAAGAAGGGGAAGGAAGAAGGAGGAAGGAAGAAGGAGAAGGAGGAAGAAAAAAAAAAAAAAAGUUUGCAGUCGGGUGGAAGAAGAAGAAGAAGAAGAAGAAAGAAGAAAGAAGGAAGAAAGAAGAAAGAAGAAGAAGAAAGAAAGAAAGAAGAAAAAAAAAACGUGUCACAAAAAAAAAACGUGGCUGACACGUGGCGCCACGUCAUUGUCCACAUGGACGCCACGUCACAAUUAACGGCAAAUUUAACAGUUUGACUAAUGAAUGUAUGAGACUGUCCCAAAAUUUACACUUUAGGUAUGACUCUGAGACGAAAAAAACUUGAUGUACUAAAUGUUGAAAACCAUGAAACAUGAGGGUAGUAAACAGUCUUUUACCUUUUUUUUUUUUUUCUUUUUUUUGGCAGACAGCACGACAUAAAGAACAGUAGCGGUUUUUAAGUUUUGGCAGAACACGACACAAAGAACAGCAGUGGUGUGCUGUUUCCCACACUAGUCAAAUGCAAAGGGGGCAUUUGAUUAGAAGGACGAAAGGUACUCGCACAGAGUCCUUAAAAUUUUUACCAUCUAAUAUCAUGUAAUAAUGUUUUAUGUUUAAAAAAUUACUUUUGUUAGUACUAUAAAAUUGUAUUGUGCAUUCUUUCAUAGUAUUUUUUUCUUUCUAAAUAUAAAAACUCGGAGUAGAAUAAGAUAUUUUGAGUGUUAAUAAUAACACUCUAAAAAACGAUAGUUUCUUAAUUUUAUUAUAUAAUAAUGUUAUAUAUUCAAGUGAAACUCUAAAGUUAGAAUUUUAAAGUUUUUUUUUCAUAUUUUUGUUUUGAAUUUUUUUUUUUAACAAACGAUAUUAUCUACACUAAAUAAGUGGUGGAGUGGACUAGCAAUAAUGUGGUUUUAAUUCGCUUUUGCAAAGAAUCGAACCUAAGAUCAUUCACUUACAAGUGAAUACUACUAGACCGUAGUACUAAGUGGCUUUGUUUUAAUUUUUUUUUGAAUAAAUGAUAUUAUCUACACUAAGGAGAGAGGUGGAAUUAUCAUCACAAUGGACUAGCAAUAAUGUGGUUCAAAUUCGCCUUUGGCGAGAAUCGAACCUAAGACCUCUCACUUACAAGUGAAAAGGAAUACCACGAGACCAUAUUGUUAAGUGGCAUCUUUGUUUUGAUUUAAGUGAAUGUUUUCUAGCAUCAACACAUUGUCCUACUUUUUUUUAAACUUAAAACUAUCUUAAGGAGGGGCCUUUUUACAAAUUUCGUUCAAGACCCCUAAAAUCUCAGAGACGGUCCUGGUCAGAUGGUGCAGCAGGCAUACACAGACAGCAGCACAGCCUUUUACACGGACAGAUGGUCACAACAAGCAGUAAUAUUUGGAGCAUAAAACACGAUACCACCAGAAGGCAGUCGAAUAGGGCCCCAAAUUUGAAGGGGCCCCUAAAAUUUUUAUCACCUAAUAUUUAUAUGUAAUAAUGUUCUAUAUUUAAAAAUUAUUUUUGUUAGCACUUUUAAAUCUCAUCGUGCAUUCCUUAUAAGCUUUAAUUUUUUUCCUUUCUAAAUAUAAAAAUUUUGAGUACAAUGAGAUACUUUUAAUGGCAAUAAUAAUACCUUAAAAAAGGGUAUUUUUUUUCAAUUUAUUAUAUAAUAAUGUUAUAUAUUCAAGUGAAACUUUAAAGUAGAGUUUUUGAAGUUUUUUUUUUCUUAUUUGGUUAUUUAAGAUUGAACUGCUUUUGAUUAUUUAGUGAACGUUAUGUUUGUAGCUAUUUUUAUUUAUUAUUAAUGACAUUUUUAAACUUGCAAUUAGUGAGUGCUAAACUUUAUUUUGAAUUAAGUGAUUACUUUCUAACGUCAAUACAUUAUCCUACAUUUUUAAAAAACUAUCUUAAAUAGGGGCCCUUUUAUUAAUUUCGCACAGAGCCCCCAAAAUCUCAGAGACGGCCCUGGAUACCACUCACGGGAAAAAGACAUGGUACAAUUACAAUACCUACGACAAGGAUUGUAGUAACACGUUUACGGUGCUCGACUUUAUUACAGUCCCAGUAGCUUAUAGUUUUUGUGUAGGGUUUUGGAUCGAAACUUAGCUCUUGAUGCCAAGAAAAAAUACGUUAAAUACUUUGUUAUAUUAUUCAUCUGUUAGGGUUUACAUUAUAUAGGCAUGCACCUUAUUCUAUAACGAAAGUAAUUACAAAAAAUAAGAAAACUAAAUCUUAAAAAUUACAUAUCCUAAUCCUACUUAAAAUAAGACUCGAUAACAUUUAAAUUAAGACUCAAAUUAACGUUAGCUACACCCUCCGCCUGCUCUUUCCCCUCUCACUCCCCUAAACCCACCCUCUAAUUCCCCUUAAACCCCUACCGCGACACCCACAUACGCCCCCUCGCCUGCCGUUGAAGCCCUAGAAAAUAUCGAAAACCUCCGCCUCAAAAGGAUGGUCAUCUCCUACUAAAGCCUUGAGCUUCAUUCCAGGUAAUUCCCAAUUUCAAGUCUCCUCACCCUCUCUUUCUUAUCCAUGCAGAAGAACUUCUUGUGAUGGGCCUAAUUUCAUGAAUCGAGUUCGAAAAUUUUGAACUUUGGUUUUGAUUUUGAUUUAGGAUUUUGGAGAUUUGACGAGGGGAAAAGGGUGUGUUUGGAUUAAAACUGAACUUCAGGCCCAAGGAUGGAGUCGGCCCAAAAGGGGGCCUAGAGGAAUAGAAGAUCAAAACCCAGCCGAAACUUGGGAAGGCAGGAAAGGGCAUUUUCUGACUUGAUACAAAUCACAAAGGCCACUUGCCUACCUACCCAAGGACCAAGUAGUGUAGACUGAUCAGACUGCACAGCCCAUAAAGUACUUUAUGAUGGCAUUACAUGUAAUAAAGCUGAUGAGUCAUCACCCUCAGACCGCAUUCGGGCAAAGCUGUUGCUACAGGAAGCCGAGUCAAGUCGUCUAUAAAAAGAAGAAGAGAAGACAGGAGCAAGGACACUCAAACAAACAAACAACUGCAAGCCAAAACUCUGCUCAAAGCCAGAUUUGCCUUCCAAACGAAGCUGUAGUCAGCCAAGCCUUCAUCCCAUUCGGGACCAACCUUUAUCCCUCGCGGGAUACUCUUUUCUCCUAAACUUUGUAAUAGCUCUGUUACCCUGCUCUAACUUGUUGUAGUAUCGAUUCACCCUUUUGUAUUCUCCUUCCCCUCUCCACCUCUAAGCUUCCAGACCUGUGACAGAACCACAAAGAUAAGGACCUGCAAGACGAUCAGCCUUAAUUGAUAAGGUUUAAUCUUGCCCGACCUGCUUUGUUCUGUCUUUGUCUUCUCUUUCUUUAAAGUCUAGCAAUAUGUUGUAUAUUUUUAGUAUAUGCAAGUCUGUUCCUAGCAAAAUCACUAUGACAAAGCUUUCUCAAUACUUGGAUCCGAUUUAAAUAUAUCUUCGAUGCUUAAAUCAGAUCCAAGUCCUAAGCCUGCAGGCAUGUAAAUCUGAUUAGUUUAAAAGUCCUUGGCCUCAAGGCAUAAAAAAGAACUUUAUGUGGACUUAACCCAUCCACGACAAUCCUUGAUAAACGAGAAGUCCGAAGUUACUUGGGGCGCAAGUAAUCGACCUACCUUCUAGUUUUCUUUCUAUUAUAUCAUGAUUAUCAUAGAAUGCUUAAGUAUGGGAUGAACUCUAAUGGAAAGCCUCAAGGUCUACACCUAAGGCCUCACAAAGGCAUCCAUUUGGAUUCAUCCUAUUCAGCGAUCUUAAGAGUCUAAGCAUAAGAAUGAACUCUGAUGGGAAGCCUCAAGGCCUACACCUAAGGCCUCACAAAGGCACCCAUUUGGGUUCGUUCUAUUCCUUGGAUCCGGGUAAUCAGAAAUAUAAUAGUUAGAAGACUCCUACAAUCACAAAAAUAAAUAUUAUGUGUUCGAGCACUGGUUUAGUUAUUGAUGGGAAGCCUCAAGGCCUACAUUUAAGGCCCCACAAAGGCACCUGUUGUAACUAACACGGUUUCUUGGAUACAUAUAUAUAUAUACAAUGAAAGAACGACAACCAUUUUACAUCUGCCAUGCUAAAGAUGGCAGUGGCACGCCUGAGCACCUAAAUGUUAACCUUGAUUGUGAGCCUCAAGGCCUACACCUAAGGCCCCAUAAAGGCACCUCUCAAAGUUAACGAUGUCCUUCUUUCAGCCUUGCCCGAAGAGUCUUGCCCGACAAGACUUGCCUGACGAGGCUUGCCCGACAACGCCCAGAAACGAAGCAGAAGCCCGACAGCAGCCCUCAACCGGCGCCAACCUCCAGGGGAGCUGUGUGCUCGUCGGCCAGGAAACAUCCCCAGCGGAAAUUCCUGCCACGAACAGGGUGGGUCGGCGAGCGACAGGAAGGGAUGGGCUUACGAAUAGACAAUGACGAAGGAGUCGUUGCAUCAAUGAAGAUGGAUGGCUCUGACGGCUCUAAUUUGGAAGACGAGGUGGAUGGCGGAAGUUCGCGCUUGGGUCGAAACGUAAAAAGGAGACGAGAUCAUCUUGAUUGAUUUUCAAUUUUUUAUUUUUAUUAAUUUUUUGUAUUUUAUAUUUUUUAAGAUCUGGGUCCAUAUUGACACGUAGAUGUCACAUCAUCAGUUAACGAAAGUUUCGAUUGAAAACUUAACGGAUAUAUGAAAGUCUAGAGUUAUGACUUUAGGUACAAAUAGGAAGAAAAAAAACUUAAAUUUAUAAAUAUUAUAAACUAAAAAACUUAAAGUAGUAAAUUGAAAUUAACCCGAAAAAUAAAGAGUUAUUAUCAUUUAAAAUUAGAGUAAAUUGAAGAGAUAGUCCCUCAAUUGUGAUCGAAUUGUAGCUUUAGUCCCUGAUCUAAAAAUCUAUUAGAUAUAGUCCUUCAACCUUACAAAAUGUGGAGCAUUAGUCCUUUGGUACUAACACGUAAGAUUUUCUGUUACUAUGAUGACAUGGUAUUUGUGGGCUCCACAUUUUCAUUGAUGUGGAUGCCAUGUGGCCUAAAAAAUCUAUAAAAAAAUACAAACACAAAGAAAGGAAAAAGAAACAUAAAAUAAAAAAGGUUGAAUUCUCUCUCCCAUCUUUCCCUUCCGCUCACCUUCUUCUCCAAACCCAGCCGUCAUUGUAGCACUCUUCCAACAACCAAACCAUAGAAAGUUUCAAAUCUAAAUUUGGAACACAAUGACCUCCAUCCUUGCAGCACCUUAGUCAACCUACCUUGACAGCUUAAUCUCCGGUUCCCCACCACCUGCAAUCACACAUAGGUCGGAACUUUGUGGGCUACAGGUUGGGAUUGACUGGGUUGUGGGGAUUGGUAGAUGGAGGAGGGGGUGGGGGGUGGGGUGGGAGGUGGGAGAUAGGCUGGGGAGUUGGUCAAAGACUCAAAUUUGAAGGGGUGGGCUGCGGGACUUGAAGUGUGGAUGGGUCUACAAAUUUUUUUUUUAUUUUUCAUUUUACUUCCUUUUUUUUUUAAUUUCUAAUCCAGGUAGCACUGAAUUAUUUAAGUGUGGGGCCUAUAAAUUUGCCACUCAAUAACGGAAAAUUUAACAAAUUUGACAUGAAAGACCAAUGCUUCACAUUUUAUCAAGUUUAGGGAUCAAAUUUAAUAGAUUUUUAAUUUAGAAACUAAAACUACAAUUUAACCAUAGUUCAGUGACUAUUCCUUCAAUUUACUCUUAAAACUAAACACAAAAUAAUAAAAAAAUGAAGAGUCGACAAAAAGGAGUCGACUAAACACAGAAUACUUAAAAAAAUGAAGAGUCGUCAUCAUCUGCAUCACCAUCAAAUUAAUUUAAAACUAAACACAGAAACUUUAAAAAAAAAAGAAACAAAAGAGUCGUCAUCAUCUUCAUCACCAUCAAAUUAAAAAUAAUUUAAAACUAAACAAGAAGUACUUGAGAAAAAAAGGAAAAUUUGCACAUAUACUACAUAAACUAUUAGAAGUGUGUGCAUUUACCACCGAACAAAAUAAUUUUGCAUUUACAACCUGGACUUUACAUUUGGGGGAGCAUUUUUCUCACCAACACUAAUUAUAGAGUAUGCUCACCACUCAAUUCAAUACUUGCCACGUGUAAUCCACUUUAACCCUAGUUAAGUUUAAUUUAUUUAAUUUUUCUACUCUAAUUAAUAAGACAGAAUUCUCCUUCGACCAAAAAAAAAGAAAGAAAAAAAAAGGGAGUUCUCCUAUCCCUCAUUUACUUCCAAAUUCACCCUUUCUUUCUCUUAUAUUUUAUUAAAACUCUUGCUUUUGAAUACAAACAGACUCCUGCACGCAUCUUCUUUUGGGUUUUUCAUUCUUCUUGUACGAAACCCACGGCAACAAAUUGAAGAACCUGCUAUUUUUCUCCGGCUAGAAAAAGUUAUGCAGCUCCCUUUUAUUUUAUUAGUCGUAUCGUCUAUUGUUGUGCUGUAAAAUUCAAAUUGAUGAGGACUUGAGUGCGUCAACUCAUUGGUGCAAUAUAUAUGCUUUUUAGUUUUUGUUAUAGGGUGUCAAUUUAAUUCAAUAUCAAGUAAGCUGAUGCUUAUAAUUCCCAUGAUGUCGAAUUACUCAUUUAUGAGUCCUUAGGUUUGUAUCUUCAUUGAAUGUACUGUACAGUGUGCUAUAUAUUGAUUUGCAGAAAAACAUUCAACUAAUAUCUUAGGGAACCACUCCUCAACUAAAAUUUUCAAAUCCACCAACAUUUUAGAUCAAAUUGUUAUAGAAUUUAGUGAAAAUUUUGUGGAACCACAUCCGUUGAAGUGGAGAAUAUUCAUCCUAUUAUCUUUGUACAAUUUUGUUUUGAUGAGUUUUGUUUAUACCAUAUUUAGGGUCUCUGUAUUUAGAUCUCGUAUAAAUACUUGAGAGACUUAAAUGUAAUUAUGUAAUAAAAGAAUGGGCAAAUAUGUAAAAAGGGGAGGAGCCCUUAUUUUAUAAAAGGGCAUCCUCACCCUUACAAACCCUAAGCCUCUCCUAUCUAGAGCAAAGCUCUCACACUCUCUCCCUCACAAAUACUCUCACACUCUCUCCCUCACAAAUACUCUCAAAUAAAUACAAUCAGUGUGGACAUAGUCCAAACCUUGGGGUGAACCACGAUACAUCUUGUGUUAUUUACAUUUCUUGCAGAUUCACGGUCGGAUUUACGUUGUUCCAAGACCUCCGGUUUUAUGCAUCAACAUUUGACGUUAUUUGUGGAAAUCGAUAUGAAAAGUUGUGUCGGUUCUCUUUCAUUUUUUCACAUCCACUGUGAAUCUGCAAAAACCCAAGUGCUCAUCCUCAAAGACCUUUUUUCCUCUUACACUUGUUGGUUGUUAAGCUCUUAGCCAUUUCCCGAAAUGCCCCCGCCGCUGGAUAUGUCGCUCGACGAUCUCAUCUGGAGGCGCAAGAAGUCGAAAGCCAGAGGGCAUCGCCUUGAUGAGUGACAGAUCCAUCCAGAAAGAAACAAAGUCUAACGACGUCGUCCCAACAAAUGUUGCACACCAUCAGCGCAUCACUAAUGGAAUGGCUGCAAUCAAUCCAACUUCACGAAUCAGUGUCCAAGUCCUUCAUGGCUUCUUGUCCUCAAGCCCUGAUGCCUACCUUUGUCGAAGAAAUAAGCAUCGUCUGAGCUCGCUCUAGCUUCCACAUGCAGAAGACCCUCUACUGGUUCGACUUCGUCGUAUUGUCGUAUUGGGCAUCCGCAGUCCCCAUCGUCUGCGACAACCCCAACCUAACCGUCAGCGACAUCGGCAACGUCAGGAUUGCGUCUGUGUCUGGCGCUGUGUUUGCCUGAAUAGCCAUGGGGACAGCGUGCGACUUGUUCGGUCCGCGGCUUGCCUCCGCCUCAUUCAUCCACUGCUGAAAUGAAAAGAAAAAGCAAUGCAACACUUUCUUGAGCUUGAAGUCUUAUAAUCUCCUCUUCAGCCAAUUUCAUGAACAUGUUCAUCGACUCUGAGAAUUUUCGGCUGCUGUCAUCUGACACCGUCGUCUCAUUUAAUUGCACAACAUCCGCAAUUUUGCUAAUUCCUUUAGAAAGCUUGGAAACAUCACUGCUAAGCACAUCAGAAUCCAUGACAGCAGCUUUCUUCACGUUACUGAGGUCUGAACUGAGAACUGAAACAACUUGCAGGCCAAGCCUCCUGCACUUGACAUCAUCACUCAAAGUUAGGUUUGAAGUUUGCCUGCCACCGUUGAGACGAGCAUCUUCCGUCCUUAUGAUUUCUUGUACGACAAAAUGCAAGAGUGUGGUUUUCCCAUCUGCCCCCUUGACGACAACCAGCUUGAUGAGUGUGUCCAGUUUGAAGGCUUGGGCAUCACCACGGUUUAUCCCAACAUUCAUUCGGUUUCCAGUCUUCAAAACAGCAUCUAGAAGCUUCAAGAACAUCCUGCUGUUUCUCAAUUCUUCACAGGCAGCCUAAGUAACGAAUAGCCAUGGGGAUAGUGCAUGCUGGUGCUGCCAUACAUUGUUGGCCUUCACCAUCAACAGUUGAAAUGAAAAGAAAAAGCAACGGAUGUAUGGAGAAAGCAAGAGCAAAAAUAAAACGCAGUGGAAAAUAAAAGGAAAAGCAAGUCUACAGGGAGGUGGAGAGACAGAGAGAGGCGCAGUGGGAAAUAGAAACCAAAGCAAAAGGAAAGGAAAAGAGAAAAGAAAGAAUUAUGCUUUCUUUAGUUAAAAGCUGAAGCAAGUUGGUGCUUUCUUCAUUUUGUCGACCACCCAUAGAAAAGCUAUGGAUAGCAGGCACGCAAAUCUGCAAAAGCAAGGAAUAAACACCCCAUUAGAAUGAUGUGAUUUACUUUUCUUGGCAGAUGUAUGAUGUAAUUUAUUUUUCCUAUCUUUCGAAGACAUCUGUAUAAACCUCAUCAGAGGGUAAUAAAAAAAAAAAAAGGUAAAGCCCAAAAUAAAUGGGUUGGAAUAUUGUGUGGAGAGUGAAGGCCCAUAAGCCCAAAAUAGCACUAACCAGGCGAUCAAAAGUACGCCCAGUACUACAAAAAAUUAUUCGGCACCCCGUCGUUAUUACCACCAACCAGGUGAUCAAAAGUACGCCCAGUACUUCAAAAUUAUUCGGCAACCUGCCGCUAUUAUUACCAACCAGGUAAUCAAAAGUACGCCAAAUACUUCAAAUUAUACAUGAGCAUUACUCAUGUCAAUCAUACAUAAACAUACAUGAGCAUUACUCAUGUCAAUAACACAUAAACAUUCAUGAGCAUCACUCAUGUCAAUCUUACAUAAACAUUCAUGAACAUCAUUCAUGUCAACAUUCAUGAGCAUCAUUCAUAUCAACAUCCAUGAGCAUCAUUCAUGUCAAUUAACAUAAACAUUCAUGAGCAUCACUUAUGUCAAUCAGCUUCAAAAGCUUCAUUUACAGAUAUCUAGCUUCAAAAACUUCAUUUACAAAAGCUCUAGCUUCAAAAGCUUCAUUUACAGAGCUCUAGCUUCAAAAACUUCAUUUACAAAAGCUCUAGCUUCAAAAGCUUCAUUUACAGAGCUACAGCUUCAAAAACUUUAUUUACAAAAGCUCUAGCUUCGAAAGUUUCAUUUACAAAGCUCUAGCUUCAAAGCUUCACUUGCAAAGCUUCACCUACAAAGCUUCACUUGCAAAGCUUCAGUGCAGGGUAUACAAAUACCACCUCCGAACAAUCGUCAUUUUGACCCAUACAUAUAUUCAAUUUGAAGUUUCCAGCCAACAGACUCUAUUGACCGAAGACUUAGGGGACUACAUUAUGUACCAUAUAUUGGGCCUUAACUAUGCCUCAUGAAAAUACUUGGGGGACUUAGCCCAUUAUCUAUGUACUGAGGAGUGAACCAUUAUUCUAUAAAAAUGACUCCUUCACUUUCAUUAGAGAGCUCUCAUGAAAAAUACUUGGGAGACUUAGCCCAUCACUUAUGUAUUAAGGAGCGAGCCCUUAUUCUAUAAAAGGGAUUCCCUCACUAUCAUUAGAGAGCAUCAACUCUAGCCCAUCAUUCAUGUAUUGAGGAGUGAGCCCUUAUUCUAUAAAAUGGACUCCCUCACCUUCAAACGCCACAAGCCGAGCCGAGCAGCCUUCGUUAGAGAGCAUCGCAGCCAAUUGAGCAACCGCCUCGCCACUAGCAUCACUCCUAACCCAUUAUUCAUGUACUGAUGAGCGAGCCCUUAUUUUAUAAAAGGGACUCCCCCACCUUCGUUAGAGAACAUCGCUACCAGCUGAGCAACCGCCUCGCUGCGAGCAUCACUCCUAACCCAUCAUUUAUGUAUUGAGGAGCGAUCCCUUAUUCUAUAAAAGGGACACCCUAACCAUCAUUAGAGAGCAUCAACUCUAGCCCAUCAUUCAUAUAUUGAGGAGUGAACCCUUAUUCUAUAAAAGGGACUCCCUCAACUUCAAAUGCCACAAGCCGAGCCAACCAAGGCAACAUAAGCCACGAGCCGAGCAGCCUCGCAGCGUGUGCUACUUCUAGUUAAGCAUCAUUUCAGAUUGAGCACUGCCUCAUAUCGAGCAUCAGUUCAAGACAGCAUCUAGUUACUUCGACUCACACAUGGAUUGAAUUUCAAGUCUCUAGCCAAAAAACUCUCUUGACUAAAGACUUGGGGAACUAUUGUUUAUACCAUACUUAGGGCCUCUGUAUUUAGAUCUCGUAUAAAUACUUGAGAGACUUAAAUGUAAUUAUGUAAUAAAGGAAGGGGCAAAUAUGUAAAAAUGGGAGGAUCCCUUAUUCUAUAAAAGGGCCUCCUCACCCUCACAAACCCUAAGCCUCUCCUAUCUAGAGCAAAGCUCUCACACUUUCUCCCUCACAAGUACUCUUAGAGAAAUACAAUCAGUGUGGACGUAGCCCAAACCUUGGGGUGAACCACGAUACAUCUUGUGUUAUUUACAUUUCUUGCAGAUUCACGGUCGGAUUUACGUUGUUCCAAGACCUCCGAUUUUGUACAUCAACAAGUUUCAUCUCAAAGAAUAUUCUGACUAUUAGCUAGGGUUAAAAUACUCCCUACAUUUAGUGUUAAUGUGCCACUUUUGACUAUAGGGUAUGCUCACCACCCAUCUUAUAGCUUGCCAUGUGUCUACUAGGCAUUAAUUACUAACCAAAGUUAAUGUUUUAAUUAAAAACUUUCAGUACUAUUCAUUUUAACGAAAAAUUAUAUUUUUAAACUAAAAAGUCAAUCAUGGUACUAUUCACUUUAUCUUUUAUUUUGUCUUUAUCGUUAAAACUUAAAGUUUUCGAGUUUUUUUUAUUACUUUUCCUUUUAAUUAAUGACUUGGAAGUUGUUUCGCGAGGGAAGUGAUAGAACCGCCGACAUAGUCCACUCGCCGCUGGUCAAGGCGUCGGGAAUUGGCUGGUGGCGAAUUUGAAGCUCUGUGGGUUUGUUUUUAUUUUAUUUUUUGUUUAAUUUCAGUGGGGAAGAACGAGGAAGGAGGAAAGAGGAAAUAAUGGGGAAGACGGAUGAGUGAGGAAGGAGGGUGAGAUAAUGGGUUGGUCGGGGUGGGCCCAAUAUUGAAUUUUUUAAAUUAUUUUAUGUUUAGUUUUAAAUUUUUAAUAUAUUCCAAAAAUUAAAAUAAAGUAAUUAAUUAUUUUAUGCUUAGUUUUAAAAUUUUAAUAUAUUCCAAAAAUUAAAAUAAAGUAAUUAAUUAAAAAGCUUACUUUGGUUAAUUAGUGAGACAUAUGUCAAAUUAUAAGAUGAGUGAUGAGCAUACCAUAUAAUUAAGGUGAUGAAUAAAAAUGCUCGCAUAUUCUCCGUUAAAAUCUCAUCUGACUUCCAUGUGUGCUGAUUUGAGAUUGAGAAAUCAAACCAAAUAAGAAUGUUAUAAACAAAAAAUUGAAAAAGAAAAGAAAAAAGAAAUUUUUUGCAGGAGAUUGAGAUGGGGAAGGCAGAUUGUCUGCCCUCCUGUUUGGGUGCUCUUUUCAUCACAUUUUAUUUUGUACGGUCACGGUUAAAUUACGUUAAUAUUUUAUAUUAAUUUUUUUAUAAAGAUAAUAAGAUAAAAAGUAAUAAGAAUAUAAAAUAUUAACGUAUCUUAACUGUGAUCGCAUAAAUAAAAUAAGAUAAAAAGAGCAUCCAAACAGGAGGCAGCCCUGAGAUGGAGCGGGAGACUCGUAUAAAAAUCAGUCUCUCUUCUCUCUCCUCUCAAUUUCAAAAAAAAAAAAAAAAAAAUUUGCGGAACUGUCAUCAGUGUUUUUCUCUCUUUUUUUCAUCAAAAAGCUGGAGGAACCAUUUCAAUUUCACAAUCAAAAGGUCCGCCUCUCUCUUCUCUUUCAACAUGCACUGUCGAAUCCCCCGUCUUCGCGGCUUCCCUUUUAGCGGGCUGCUGCUCAAAGCCUUCGAGUCCCAAUCUUCUCAAGACAGCCCAAGCAACGAUUUUCGAUCCAAGCUAUUUAGAUUUACUCCUCUUUCUCCUUCCUCGGUUUAAUGGGUUUCACGUCAAAUACGAAACUGACAAAUUUCUUCUUUCUUCCUGCGAUUUAUUGCUUGGCUGUGCAAAAAUCUUAAUUUUUGAGUUGUAACGGUGUUGGAAAAUACCCAAAAAAAAUCACAUAUUAACAUUUUAUUCUUGGUUUUUGGAUGUUUUUGGUUGGGUGAAGAAAAUAACUCGGGUUUGGGAUGGAUGAAGGGGGUAAAGAUCGGUUUUUGGGAUGUAUAAUUUGUUGGAUUGAUUUAAAUUAAUUUUUAGGUUGAGAAAGUGAAUGACAAAGCCAGACCUGUACCUUCCUCACUCCAUCUCUCUCCUCCUCCCCUCCCUCUCUAUCUCAAUCCCACGCAAUAUUUUCCUUUUUUCUUUUCGUUUUCAUUUUUUUUGUUUAUAACAUUCUUAUUUGGUUUGAUUUCUUAAAUAAUUAAAAUAUUAUAUUUCUCAAAUCAGGCAAGUCAGAUGGGGUUUGUAACGGAAUACAUCGCAGAAAAUGUUAAAGUGGCACAUAGCACCAAAUGGAAAGUUCAGGCGGCAAAUGCCACAAUUGUUUUGUUUGGGUGGGAAAUGCACACACCUCUAAUAGUGUAGGUGGUAUAUGUGCAAAUUUUCCUAAAAAAAUGAAAAGUCGUCGCCAUCUUUAUCAUCAUCAAAUUAAAAAAAAUAUAAAACCAAUCCAACGCAACAGCCUUGACUAAUCACCUUGCAGCAGCCAGUCGUCAUCACCAUAGUACAGCCCACCAAUCCUGACCAUUCACCUUGCACCAGCCAACCCACCUUCUGGCACACUAUAAAUUUUAUACCUCUCAAUAUAGGGAACUUUAACGAAAAGCACCCGGUACUGUUCACUUUAACGAAAAACCACAUUUUUACACUAAAAAGUCAAUCCUGGUACUAUUCACUUUACCUUUUAUUUUGUUCUUAUCAUUAAAACUCAAAGUUUUCAAGCACUUUUCUUUAGUUUUCCUCUCAAUAUAACAUUUUCUUGGGGUGAUGAAGAUGAAGGGUAAGCGUGUGGGCAUGAAUGGGAGGACAAUUUUGUGAAUUGAUUUUCUCUCUCAUAAUAAUAUAUCAUAAUAUAUAUAUAUAUAUAUAUAUAUAUAUAUAUAUAUAUAAUUUUGCAACGGUUGAACAUGCGGCCGGCCUGGAGGAAAACCGCGCCUCUGACAGAUGCAAAUAAGGAGAGAUUUUUCAAUGUAAUUGUCACACGAGAUAAUACAUUACGUAUUUCUAUAUAAAUUAUGGGAUAUGUGUGAUAAAAGCUUAAUAAUUUAAAAAUUAAAAUUUUUCGCCACUUACAUAAAAAAAACGUGAUGUACCAUUUGAAUUCCCAUCACAACUAAAAAUUUCUUGCAAAUAAUAAGUUAAAAACGAAGUUUGGCAAGCACUUUCAACGAAAUGAGUAUUAUUUUUAUAUGAUAAUGACGUACAGCUCACGGUUUGUGUCUAUUUCGCGGAAAUUAUUAAACAUUUUCUUGCGCUAUUCCUCCAGCUGCUAGAUAUCAGGAUAUCCUCUUGGAAGAGAUCAACAAUUUUAGCUAUGGACUGCCAUGUUCCGUCACUCACACAAACGACAGGAACAGCGCUCCCACAAGAACUAGCCAAGGCGGUGAAUAAACAGAAGACACUGGAAAGCAUCGGCGAUAAACAAGGGGAAGCAGUAAGCCGUCUGGGAACAACGUUGAUAUCGCUGGUCGUCUUUUAUAUCUCCCUACAAACCUUCAUAUUCCAUUCUGUUAGCCAAAAUCCAAACAUUCCGUGCAAGUUCUGGUGGGCGCCGUUCAGCCUCUCGUGUCUGAAUUGUGUCAUCUUCACCAUCCCCUUCAAGAGUUUCGUCACGAGAUGGGAGCGUACUCAACGUUAUUACGAUAUCAAUUUUCUUGAGCAAGAUUUGGUUCACCUCGAGAUUGUGAUUUUCUCCUCGGAUCACGAUCAGCAGCUGGAGCAGCCGGCGGAGAUGUUGAGGAGCGAUACGACGAAAAUAUAUCAGAGACGCGCCUUCAUCUGUUUGGUUUCUUUAGCUCUUGUCGCGUACACUAUUGUCGUCUUAACGGCAUGUCGAUACAUUCCCUGUCACAAAGUUGCUGUUCUGUAAACAUAGGUGGUUGGAUUAAGACUUCAAAUUACUCUCGGACCGAUUAAUUAAUUUGGACAGCUGGCCUCUUGAUUAUUUCUGGCCGGCUUCUUAGAAAAAUAAGUGGCCUUUUUAGGAAGUUGAAGAGAUCUUUUAAUUAUGGUAGUUGAAUGGUGAUGGUAAUACGUAUUUAGAGUUUUAUUAAUUAUGGUGGUUGAUUGGUUGUUGUAAUAUGUAUUUGAAUUGGUGAUUGUAAUAUGUAUUUGUACCCGAGGAACUCUUUUGUGCGAGCGUUGUUUGCAGAAUUGAAAACUUGUAUGAAAGAUUAUGUUUGAAAGAAUAACAGAUUGUGUUGCAAAAAUAAAUACUAUUUAUAUCGAAAAUGUUGGGUGGACCGUUAGAAACAAAGGAUUUGAUCGCCACAUUUCACACAGAUAGUUCAUGUGGCCUUGGAUUGAUAGCAAAAACAGGAAGACAUUGGUAUAUUAGCAAGCUGGAGAGGUAAAUAAGAGAACAACAAUGUUGCAUCUGGAGUUAUCUGAAGCAAUAAAGUAUAAUUAUUUAAGAUGGCGCAUAAAAGCUUAACUACAGCUACAUUGAAGAAUACCAUGUGAAGAUGCAGAGACAGACUAAAACAUGAGAGCCCACCCAUGUUCGCACCCAGCAAGAUGCUACGUUAGUAAGAAUACUGCACUUGAGAUAAAAUCUAGAGCUGUAAUUGGCAUUUCAGAAAACCAAGUUGUAAAACUGUGAAAAUUGAAAUAAAAAUCAAACAUGCAAGAAUCCACAGAACAUGAAACACAUAAUAAUAAAUACAGAACUCACCAAACCACUUACCCGAACAACAAGCUUACAGAGAGUAGACCUGUGAGUUUUACAUGUAUAAUCAGAAAAAUAACAAAACUGAAAUAAGUUUUUAAUUUUUCAGAGACUUGAAAUACUUGUUUCAUGUCUGUGUAUGUGAUUUUAAGUACUUGUUCGAUAUUAUGUAUUUGUUUUUCUUCAAUGUGUAGUGCUUACCAUUCUUUUUUCAACUCCUCCACAAAGUCCAUGAUAAAAAUAAAUAAAAUAAAUUAAAAAAAAAAAACAGAAAGAAUCCAUGGUAUAAUUGUCAGAAUAACAGAACUGAAAAUAAGAUCUCGAGUUCACAGACUGCGAGUACUUGUUUGAAGUCUGUUAAUGUGAUUUAAGUACUUUGUUUCAUAGUAUGUAUUUUUUUUUUCUUCAACACAUAAGUUUCACAUAUAUGUCAAUUUGCGCAAGGUUUCUAAUAUGGAAAAGAGGAUGUAUUUCAGGUGGGAAGAGCAGGUUUAACAUCACCAACAGGCAGCAAAAACGAAAAAAAAAAAGUGUAAAAUACUGACCUUUCACUGCGAUUGUAACAAAAUCGGCAAGGCAGAUUCAACCAAGAGAUCAGGCACAGCCCUCACCUGAAACUGAUCCCAUCAAUCAAAUCCCAAAAUUAACUGCAAAUCACAAAAUUACGUGCCCCAAAUCGGCCAGAGAACUCAUCCAAGAACUCAUCAGGAACAGAUAAUUACAUUUUUUUCAUCAUUAUCAAGAGUAUCUUUGAUUGCAUCAACCUUUGACGCCAACCUCAGAAGGGUGCAUCUAACUCUAACAACAUUCCUCAACAACAAUAUUAAUACCAUGGAUGCCAUGCAUGACAACUUUGCAUAGGCAGCGCCAAAUGUGUUUCUGGUAGAUGCCAUGCAUGACCCACAUGUAAAGAUAUUACACGGGGUUGCUCCAACAGUAUGGUCUAAAAAGAAAGAAACACAUUGAUCUAAGGAUAACAAGAAGAAACAGUUGAAAAAACAGAAAUUCAUUAUAUACCAGCAAGCAAAUGGAUUAGCAGUGAAAUCAUGAUAUCUCAGACCAUUCUCAGUCUGUUAUUAGUGGCAAAAAAGACGCAAAAUAGUUUACAUAAGAAGAAUUAGUUCAAUAAGAAACGCAUUAUAAGUAACGUUACAAAAGCACACCUAUAACGGAAGAUAACAUGCACUAUAAAGGUCGCUUAUAAACCAAGAGCAGCAGCACUCAACACUAAGUUUUUUUUUUUUUUUUGGUUGAAAGGAAACAAAAGAAUUUUAUAAAAAGGAAAGAAAUUACAAAAGAGGAAAAGAAAACCACGUGGAAAAGAUAUCCACCUGGAGCUAGAAGAUAACUAGCAAGGACCCCUAGUGAAAACUAAUUGAACAGAGGAAAAGCUAUACCGAAUCAAUUAACGGCUGCUAACAAAUCCCUAAAUAUAGAAGAGAGAUUGUAAUCUCUAAACUCCACUGAAACCGAAGCCCAAAGGGCUGCCCAGUGUCUUACUCUAUCCCAAAGCUCCUCUACCCCCACUCCCUUGUAAUCCUCAAAGACUCUUUUAUUACGCUCGAACCAAAUGUUCCAGAAGAGGGCCAUCAACAGAGAUCCCCACAAGGUUUUGGCUUUUCUCCCUUUCCCAAGGGCUUCGAACUUAGUGCUUAGGAGCUCAACACUAAGUAUUCAGCAACACAAAGAACAAUAUUGCAAAUUUUUAUAUGAAUGGCUAAAAUAUGACUUAUGUUUAAGUAAUUAUCUAAACCAGCAUAACAGCUAAUACUGUCACAGAUAUGCUCUAGAAUAAAUUGUGUUUCCUUUAGGUUCCUAAAGUCUAACAGAACUGUUUUUAGCCGGUAUCCAAGUUAGAGCCAUAUUUAAAUUUCACUACACAUAAAAUGCACACCAAAUUAUACAAAAAUUAUGAUUUUAAUUGGGGCCAUAUCGUAAAAACAUAACCAACAAUAUUAAUACCAUAGAUUGUAAAUAAAUACUUUGCACAUACGAAGUAAAUUCAUAAGCUAAACUUCUUACUCUGAAUUUGUUAUAGAUCCAGCAGCAGCCUCAUGCCUCCUGUGCAAGUGUGCCUCCAGAAUGUCCAUGAAUCAGAUGCAAUGCAAUCUCAUUAGGGUAUGCAUGUAUUUAGAAGGUAAAACAAACAACUCAAACUAAUAUACAAUGCUCCCUCGCACAGACAGACGGAAAGAAAAACAUAGAUGUCUGAAAACAAUUUCAUGCAUUUAGUUUCACAUCAAAAAAAAAAAAACAUGACAUAGUACAACGCAUCAACUGAACCCUGUUUUAGAAGAUCCAAUGCACAUUUCAGAAUGCAUGUACAUGCACUUAUAUAUUUCAGAUAACUAAUACAAAAGUGAAUAAAUAAAGUAACCCUCCUCGCAAUUUCAAACACAAACCAAAUAGCUGACACCAAUAGGAAAAGGUAAAAAACAGAAGCUACAAGAAGAAGCCAAACUUAUCAAGAGCAGUGACACUAAGAUUCAAUUUAAAUAGAUUUCCAAGCGAACCCAGUAGCUUUACCUAGGAAGAACAGAAGGGCAAAGCAUGCAGCAUAAUGACAUUCAAUACAAGCGAAACCAAGGUACCUUCUCCUGGGUUCCUUUUAAGCAUCUAACCGCUGGAGGGUUGCCUCAUAGCAGUAUCACAUAUCCUGAAUGAAAAGUCAAAUUAGAAUCUCCUGAACCCAAAUAAUUAAGAUACAGUGGUAUACUAUAAAGAUACAACUUACAGAAAGGACAUGAAAAUGAAGGAUGUUUAACAAACCUACCAAUCAUAAAGUAAAUUCUAAAGACCACGAUUACUAAAGAAUGAACUUCAAUACAAUUAUACAAGCAACCAAGAAAAAAAAUAUAUAUAUAGAAGUAGAUAGAGUAUAGAAGACGAGGGUUUACUCUGCCUUCAGGGCUCCUCUUCAUUCUUUCGAGAACUCUCUCAAAUGCAGGCUUCCCAGUUGUCUCUCCAAGAGUUACUAUGAGAUCAGUUCAUCUUGGGUCCAGCAAUGCGCCCACAGUUGAACCGACCGCAACAGUCUAACACGAGGACUUCCUAACAUGGCAACUCUCCGAUUUUCUUGCAAUGCAAAUCAUUACAUGCAAAUUUCAGCAACAAUAAAUGAAGAAGAACAUCAAUUUGAUCAAAACCUAAUUAUCAUAUAACUUAAAUUGAUCAAACCCAAAUACCAAAUUGUAGAAAAAUUAAUUGAAACCCAAUUGAAUAGAGAUAAAACCCAACUCACAAACCAAGAGAACAAAACCCAAUCAGCAAAAUCUCAGAUUUGAUCCCAAAAAUCACCAAAUCAGAGAAAAACAAGCCGAACACAAUUGAACACAGGCAAAACCCAGAGGAAAAUCACCUGAGCUGCGGACUACCAGAGCCAGAAGUGGCAUGAUCAGUCGAGUCGGAGGGAGAGCACGUGAGAGCAGGGAGGCGUAUCGCAGCGAAUCGAGCGAGGUGAGCGAGGUGUCAGUGUGCGACGUCGAGAGGAGCAGGUCCUGAGUUUGGAGGGGGAGCGGCAAGGUCGGGGUAUCGAGAUCGAUUUUGGAGUCUGGAGGCAGGUACGUGGGGUGUAUCAGCUAGGUUUAUUUAGAGAUACGUUCGGAUUUUGCUUCGGUUGGCUUUUUUCCAUUCGAAUUUUUCCGGUUUCAUUCAAUAUUCUGUUUUUCGGCUUUUCGUACCCACGUUUAAAUUAUCAAAUAAAUUGCAUAAAAUUACCACAAUUAUAAAUCGAAUCAUAAUUUCAUACCUUAUGUUUUUAACAUUUGAAUGACAUAACUCAACUUAUGAAGUCGUUGUAAUAUCAAGUUCGUUAAAUUUUAUGUUAAUUUGACACUUAAAUAAUGAUGUAACAGGAAUGAGAAACACUCUUUUACCAACUAAAAUAACCCCCCCCCCCCCCCGCGGCGGCGCCAUUCCAACCCCCAGGGCCAGCCCACAACAUCUACAUUCCUUCAAUUCCUUUCAUUCUUUCAAUUCCAGAACAAUCAUCGAAUUUGUUGGUUUGGGUUUCAACCGCAAGCCCCUCCUCGACUAUCUCAUUUGAAAUAUCUCAUCCCUCGACUCCAUCGAGUUCCUCCUCCCUCCCUAGAACGACGUCUUACACGGUGAAAUUUCCGGAAUUUUAUGAGGAAUGGAGCUUGAGAGGAAUUUUAUGAAGAAUGGAGCUUGAGAGGCAGCUCACAGUAGCAUAUUCUUCUCAACAAAAUGGUGUUCUUAGAGGAAUGAUACGACUAUUGUGGAGAUAGCCAAAAGCAUGUUGCAUGAGAAGAAGUUUCCCUGUUACUUUUGGGAUGAGGCAGUUAAUACUGCAGUCUACAUACUCAGCAGACGUCCAACUAAAGUUGUUGAUAACAUGACUCCAUUCCAUUUGAGGCAAUCAGUGGCAGACUGCAAUGAAUCAAAGCACCUUAAGUAUUUGGCUGCACCUUUUAUAGUUAUACCAUGUUAACUGAGACUAGGGAUGGGCAAAUACCCAUUGGUUAUGGAUAACCGCGGUUACCCGUCCAUUUAAAUUAAACGGUUACGGUUAUGCGUAACCGUUUAGAUAAAUAAACGGUUAUGGGUAUAACCGUUUACCCGCAAAAUUUAAAUAGACGGUUAUGGGUAUUAACCACGGUUAUAAACGGGUAACCGUUUACCUAUUUAUUUUAUAUAUGUAAAACUAACACAAACCAUGUUCUCGAUCCAAUAAUACUUAGCACCCAAUAAAUUAGCAAGGAAUUCAUCGGUCAUUCUCUCAAUAACACUACUACAGGAAUGAUAAUUCUCAUCAUCAAGGAAUUGGCCAAAUUAAUUUAAAUUUCUUGCGGGUAACCGUGAAAUUGACAGAAAUGCUUUGACAGAAAUGUCUUCUAAACAAUUUUUGUAACCCAAUAAUACUUAACAAAUUGUAUAUUUACCUUCAUUGGUAACAGUUAAAAAUAUCGUCCAUAAACUAUUAUUUCAAUUAUUGGAAUGGUAUAAGGACUUAAAAAAUUAAAAUAUGGAAAUGUAUGAUGAAUGUACCUAUAACGGUGUUUAAUUGUCUAAAAAAAUAAAUUAUGACAAUUUUUUUUUAAUUUUCAAGUUGUUAAAAAAUAUGUAGAUGGGUGAAAAAAGGGUAAUGGUAAAAAAAAAUGAUAAACGGGUUAAAAAUGAUAAAUGGGUAAACGGGUAUUAAACGGUUACGGUUAAAUGAGUAUGCGGUUAUGGGUAUGGUUAACCGUUUAUAAACGGUUAUGGGUAUGGGUAUAACUGUUUAGGCAAUUACCCAACGGGUAAACGGUUAUACGGGUAUAAGCAUAAACGGUUAUGGGUAAAUUAACCGCGAUUACCCGCCCGCAUAACCAUUGCCCAUCCCUAACUGAGACAGAAGUUGGAUGAAGAAUCUGUCAGAGGAAUAUUUGUGCGUUAUGGAAAGGCUGAGAAAGGUUACGGAUUCUUCAGUUUGACUACAAGGAAGAUUAUGUUAUCUAGAAGCGUAAUAUUUGAUGAAGAUGGAACGUGGGAUUGGAAGUCUGAUGAAGAAGCCCUAAGGCAUUUCAAGUGAAUAGUCUUGAUGAAAAGCUAAAGGGAGUUAAGAUUGAUCAAAUUGACACUGACGAAGCAUUUCGGGUAGAAGGGAGAAAUAUUCAACAUGUGUUUGAAAAUUCUCAAACUGAGCAAGGUGAAUCUGUAAAAUCCAAUCAAAUGACUGAAAUAGAAUUGGCCAGAAUGAAUGUAUUGAUAUUAGUCUACUAACUUUAUACAGAGAGUUCCCUAUAAACAAGCAGCUGAUCUUGCAAUACUACCAUACAAGAAAGGAAGAAAAUAUAUACAUAAUAAUUACUGAUUACACGCCUAUUCUAGGCCCUUUAUGAUAGGGAUCCUGAUUGCUUUCUAACAGAAUCUAGUUCCUGAAGUGAUACUCCAAUCAGGCCAUAUAUUUUCAUCUGGCAAUGGGAUUUUCUCUUGGGCUUCAGUUAAGCAGCACAGUGUGACACUGUCAACUGCAAAAGCAGAAUACAUGAGUGCAUCAUAACAACAACUCAGGUUGUGUGGCUCAGGUUUGUGUCAGAAGAUUUUGGUCAGGAACAAACUGAAGCAAUUCACCUUUUUGGUGAUAACAUUUCUGCAAUUGCAAGGAUAAGAAAUUCAGUCUUUCAUCAGAUUUCAAAGCAUAUUGGCAAAAGGUCUCAUUCCAUUAGAGAAAUCCAACAUUAUCAAUCUUGUCUAAUGCGAGUCUGAAGAACAAUUGGCAUAUAUUUUUACAAAAGUGUUGCCAAACGACAAGUUCUACAUGCUCAGAGGUCUAUUUGAAGUGAAAUCAACUACAGGUUUAGAAGAAAGUGCUGAGAUAUAAGCAUUUGUCCAGAUUUUCUUUAUUUUUUAGCUUUGAAUUUCUGGAUUUGUUGUUAUUGAUUAUAAUGAACGACUAGGAUUAGAGCUAGCUCAUAGACUAAACUAGAAAUCUAUGCCCCCGCAUUGUUGCACGAUUGAAAACCGUACGGAAGUUUAUGUUUGAAAUAUAUGAAAAAUUGUGUUGCAAAAGGUUAAUUUCCUUCAUUUAAUUUGCUCGAAAUAAAGGACAUCAAAAUCUCAACCAGAAGGUGAGGAAAUUAAUUAUUGUGUAUAACAACCCUAAAAAAGAUACUAACUUUAGAAUCAAUUCAAGUAUAUUAACAACAUGUUCGCACUCAGUAGAGAAAAACUAAUCGAAAGCAAACCUGCAAUUCUUCUAACUUUAUUCUUUAGCCUAAAGAUAAUUUGUGGGCAAAAACCCCACAAAACCCUUCAUUUAUUUUGUAAAAGAGAGCAAACUUUAAUCAAAUGGCAUUUCACGUCCUGAUAUAUGAUAACCAAAACAAUAGCAAGCAACUUCAGGUGUUCUAUAAAAAUUAAGACCAAAGUUAACCAAUAAUUCCAAAAAAAAAACAAAAACAAAACAAACAAACAAACCUCAUGUAUGAACAAAGAAUUUUAAUGUGGAAUAAUUACUUUAUUUCUUUUUUGGUUGAAGAAAUAAUUACUUUUAAGACAUAAAAAUUUAAACAAUCCAACCCAACUCAAAAUUCCAUUUCUCAUCAAGAAAAAUAGCGGUUUUUAGUCAAAAUAGUCCCUGAAAUAUGCAUAAUUUAUCACUUUAGUCUUUGCGAUUUGAAAUUAAUAGAAAUGGUUCAUGUUUAAGGUUCUAAAAAAUGCUAGGCGCUAGUCGGGCGCCUAGCAACUAGGCGGCUAGGCGAGGUCUAGGUGGGCGCCUAGACGGAUUUAGGUAAUUUUCUUAUAUAUUAUAUGAAUUAAUUAAAUUUAUUAUAUCAAAUGUAAAUAAUUAUUGAAUAUUAUGUUAUUUCUUAUAGAAGAACAUAUAUAUGUGAAUGUUUUAUGUACAUAUAUAAUAUGCUUGCCUAUGAAAAAAAAAACAAAAUAUUAUCUAAAUAAUUCAUAAUUUAUAUAACCUUUAUAUAUAUAUAUAUUGAGCGCCUAGGCGGCCGCCUAAGUCCUCCCCGCCUAACUGAACGUUUUGGUCUAAAUCGAGUCAGAGCUCUGCCGCCUAGAUCGAUUUUUAGAACACUGUUUAUCCACAAUCAUUCACUUUAGUAAUUCCACUAUUCAUCCUAUCUAACAAAGUGGGCUUCAAUUUUUUAUUCACACUUUUGCCUUCAGAUAUCUCUCUAUUCUCAACUCCAGACUGCUCUGCAUGCUCAGCACAAAAAUAUCAGUCCGGAAGCUGGAAGUCCAUAGGUUUUAUCUCCCCCGAUUUGCUCGAUGAUGUCUCCCCCGAUCUGAUAGUAUGUAUUCUUUUUUUCCCUUUUUAAAGAUUUUUUUGCUAAUAUUUCACAGUACAUAUGUUGAGUAAUUUUCUGAAGAGUAAACAUGUUUUAGAUUUGAAUAUGCAGCAAUUGAUGCACCUGGAGGAUUCCUCUUUCAAUGGUGCUCUGUCUUUGCAUCUGAGUAUAUUUGUACCGUAAAAAAGUUAAGGUCUGGGUCUUCCGAUUCCGGCGAGCUGUUUCCGUAAGAACGUCGGCGCACCGUGUACCGCGCCGUCAACCACAGUCCUCCCUGUUUUAUUUCCGAAUGGUAAUUUCACAAUUUCCACCAUUUUUCACAUUUUCCGCCAUUUUUUCUCAUUCGCAUUUGUUUACAGGGAGGUCGGAGCUUUAGGAGUGUGAAGAAGAGUAUACAGAGAUUGGAGGAAGCAGCUGUUUCCUGUAGGGGACUCGAAAGACUUGAGAUACUGAGAAGGUGGGUGCUGCUGCUUAACCCGAAAGACUCUAGAUACUGAGAAGGUGGGUGCUGCUGCUUAAAGAGGUGGAGAGGCUGAAGCUUUCUCAGGGUUAUGUGGAAGAGAAUGAAAGUGCGCCGAAACAACCUGUUUGCUGCCGAUGGCACGAAUGAGAUUCGAAAAAGAAUAUCUCUGGUUCGAUUAUGUUUUGUUUUUGCAAUUUUAUUCCAUUUCAUUCAGUUUUAUUGCUUUUGUUGGAGUAUAGUUUGCUGUUGAAACUUAUCAUUUUGGUAAUGUAAUUAGGUUUGUAUUAUGACUCUGAUGUUCGCAGUGAACCAAUGGAUUUCCGCGAAGUUUUUCUUCAAAAUCAGGCUUUGGAGGGCAUAACACUAUCUAUGGUAAUAUAUCUGAGAAAUGAAUGCUGCUUAUAUUAAUGAAAUUUAAAACAUCUCUAUCAAAGGAAUGAGAUGAAUGCUAAGAUGGAUGACUAAAUGUGCUACGCUAAGAGAUUACUUAUUUUGUUAGUUAGGGGAAGCACUUAGUGGAAGCAGGAUGGGAAAUUAUUCAAGUAUAGAUGAUUUUGUUGAGCCGGCUGCUCUUUGUUUUUGCUCAGGCAUUGCCACACAUGCACUUGGUUUGUGAGGUAUAUGGAGUUUUGCGUUGGUGGAUUCGAGAGCAUAGAGCUUUCAGUGCUUCUUUGCAACUACGAGGUCAUCUGAAAACUUAACAAGGAAUGGAGAAACAAGGGCCAUGCCACUGAUGUUCUUUCGCUGUCGCAGCAUGUCCCUAAUCUUAAGCUUCCCAUUAUACUAGCUCAUUACUUUUUUAGUUUUUUGGUUCCGUUUCUUUUUGCAUAAUUUUAAUCACUGAACAUUUGUAUUAUAUGCAGCUUAUGUUGGGUGACAUUGUGAUUUCUGUUGAGACAGCGACAAGGCAAGCAGAGGAAAGAGGCCACAAGCUUAUUGAUGAGAUACGUGUUCUCAUGGUUAGUUGGUUUUAGGAUUUUUUCCGUUAGAGAGCUUUUUAGUGUCGUUUGAUGACUUUAAUUACUGAACCCUCCUGCAGAUACAUGAGUUGUUCAUUUACUAGGAUUUGAUCAUGAGAUUAGUGAAGAGGCCGAAGUGGAAAUGGAGAAGGAGGAGCUUCUUUUAAAGAGUCUUGGGUGGAAGGGGAAAUGAUUAAUUCAAAGUGCACAUGAUGCCGAAACUCACAAAUUCCCAUGAGGGAAAACCAGAUGGUAAUUUCAUCUUUUACAGCUUCAGUUUCACAUCAUUCGUCAUUGGAUUUGCUAAUAUAAGUUUUUAGUGAGAUAAUCUUACUGGUGAAUUGUUAAAAGGCAGGAAGAGAGAAAGCAGCCUGUGAUUUUAUAAACUAAAGUUCAGAUGCAUUUUCUGUGGUAUGGAUGGUAAGUUGGCGGUUAAUGUAAUCCUGCGCCUUCAUUGUGCGUUGUUUUUUUAUUUUUAUUUGUUAGUUGAGCAGUUGAUACAUUAUAUGACAGUUGAUCUGCAAGAUGCAAAGAUGAUUUCUUUGUUUCUAUAUACUGUUUAAUUAUAUCAAUGGAAAUUGGUGCUGCUAUUCUGGCAGUAGAUGAAUUUCUGGCUGUUGAGAUGAAUUACCAAAAAAUUGUGGUUUCUUUUUCCUUUACAUGCUUUUCUUUUAAUUUUGCAGGAAUUCUCACGUUGCUUUGAUAAAAUUAUACAUGGCCAUGAUAAGGUAUUGCUCAUCCCCACAAACAUUUUGUACAUGUGUGGCAUUAAUAUAUUUUGUUUUCUGAUUGAAUUUGUUUUGAUUCAAUGGGGUUGGUGAGCUAAAUAGCAAGUGGCUUUCUUUUGGUUUUUGGAUGGCUCUUUUGGGUUGUUCUUAAGUUCAUUUUUUCUGAUUGAAUUUCAUUUGAUUCAAUGGGAAUUACACUUGUGGUUUGUAAAUUGAAAUGCAUGUAUCGUGAAAUUCAUUAUUUUGAGUAUGUUCUUACCUGACAUUUGUAAACUUUGAGUAUGUUCUUACCUGCCAUUUGUAAGCUUCUGAUUAGUUAUGAAAGUUGAUAUAUUUUGUCUGUGUUUAUAAACGUAUGACGCACAAUCAGUUUCUUUUGAGUUGGGUUGAAAUGAUGUUGAUUGUGCUGUUAUAAAGCUCCUUUCUAUAGUUAGGUUGAAAAUCAUGUUCAAAGAUUCUUUAUUUGGUUGGUCUGAUCUAUAACAGAUUGAUUGUUUUCUUUGAAUCAAAAUUUAUCUUUUUUUGUGUGAAAUUAUAAUGGAAUCGCAAAUUUGUCAGGUAUAUCUUGGAUUCUUGAUUGCACCUACCCACAACUAUUACAUUAUGUCUCUUGACCGGAUGGAUUUUUAUAAUUUCUAGGAUCUACAGUUCCAAUGCUUUUGAUGCAUAAAGUAAGGAGGAAGCUACUCCUCUGGAGCUUCUUUGGCAUGGUAAGUUGAAGUUGUGUAUCAUUUUUUUCAUUCACGAAAUUCAUUAUCUUGCUAGCUUGGCAAUUAGUAGUGUGCAGAAUUGGUAAACUGUAUGAACAAAUGUGUGGAAGUUUGAAUUGUACAAAUGAAAGUGAAUUUUAACAACUCCAACAUAGAUUUCCUAAUAAUUCAAUCCAUCUUUCUUUCAUUUGUGUUCGACUAUUUUACCUUUUUUUUAUACAAGUACAACUGUUGAUCGAAAGCCACAUAAACGAUCUAACUGGAAUGUGUCAAUCUUUUAUUUUUUUUUGCAUGUAGAUAGAAGAAGGGAACUUUAACGAAAAGCUCCCGGUACUGUUCACUUUAACGAAAAACCAUAUUUUUACACUAAAAAGUCAAUCCUGGUACUAUUCACUUUACCCUUUAUUUUGUCCUUAUCAUUAAAACUCAAAGUUUUCAAGCCCUUUUCAUUAGUUUUCCUAUAGAAAAAUACUUUUUUUGUAUACAACUACAACUGUUGAUCGAAAGCCACAUAAACGAUCUAACUGGAAUGUGUCAAUCUUUUAUUUUUUUUGCAUGUAGAUAUAAAAAAGACUGAUCUUUUGUAUGUGAUUUAUAUUUUGUAUGUAAAAGUUUUCCUGCCAUUUUCCAUUUAAAACGUAUUAAUAAUUUAAUACACAAUCGUUCAUAUCUUUCAAACAUAAUCUUUAUUCAAUUUCUAAUCCCGCAAUGUGUGUUAUCUGGAGUUGGCGGGUGGGUUUCGUCCGUCUCGAUCAGUUGGAUUGGGGGUAGGGAGAGUGAUUUCAGGGAUUUGGUUGUAGGGAGAGUGAUUUCAGGGAUUUGUGUCACACUCAACCUCUCUCUAACCCUUUCUCUUUCACUCUCUUUCAGAGACUCCAUCUCUUUCAACCCUCCGUAAAACCCAGAGGCCGAGAGGCCUGAGUCUACAUCACAACUCGCCACUCCGGCGAGCCUCAACUCCAUCAAACAACCACUAGCUCCCUGGACCUCCCUCUUUCUCUUCUCUGUAAACACCACGGCGCACCAACGCACCCAUUUUUGCCCGAAACAUCACCACAUAACCACCACCACUCACUCUGUUCUGCUCAGGACACACAGACAAAGGCCUUUCACUAUGCAUUCAGUUCUAAAAUGUCCGGUCUUGCCGUGACGGGUUAUUGGGUUCUUGCGUCGGGUCGUUCAAACAGGGCAUUCGGGUGUUGUAUUUAUUUGAUUAAUUAAUUAACUAUUUAUUGAUUACAUUUAUGUUUUGAUUUCUUUUGGUUUUUUUUUAUUUUUGUAUAUUUCUGUUUUUCUUAAACUAUUGUCUGGAGUUCGGAUUUUUGAGUUUUGCAUUCAUGCAACUUUAUGCUUCUGGGCUUCUUGUGUUAGAGCUAGAGAAGAUGAUUUGGACUCGAAUUCAAGCUUUCAUGUCUUUUAGGUUUUUCAUACUUCUUUCGUCCAAUCUUCAUCACUCUCUGUCUCUCUCUAAACAAUUUCCAAUUGGUUUUUAGAGAGAGAAAGUGGCAGCAGCCGCAGUGGGGAAGGAAGAAGGACUAUUACUGUUUCUGUGAUCAUUUCUGUCCUUCGAAGCUCUAGGGUUUGUUUUUGGAUCGGUUAGCUGUUGAGGUAAUUACUAAUCUAUACUUCGAUUGUAAUUUUUUUUUUUCAGUAUUCGGUGUGUUUGAUCAAUGGGUUACUUUGGACUUGCAUAAUUUGUGUAUAAUAUUGCUUCAAUCAUUUGUUGGGUUCCCUUUGCGUCCACCAUCUUUGCAAACGCUGCUUGAAGACAUACCUGAUGCAGUAGCUGUUCCUCAUACUUCUUCAUCUGGGAGAGAGAGGUGUGGGGUGUCCGAGAGAGAGGGUUUGACGGAUUAGGUUUGGGGUUAAGUUUUUGCAAUUUGCAGAGAGAUGGGGGGUGCCCAAGAGAUGAUUUAGGAGAUUUGGUUUGGGGUUUGUAGAGAGAGAGAGAGAGAUAGGGCGUGUCGAAGAGAAAUGUGGGAGGAUUUAGGCGAGGGAUUUCAGGGAUUUGAUUUAGGCGAGGGAUUUCAGGGAUUUGAUUUAGGCUUUCCUUUCUGCCACUUGCAGAGACAGAAAGAUGGGACAACGGUGAGAGAGAUAUGGGGACGGAGAGAGUCGAAGUGAACUCUUUUGCCCCAUUCGAUCCAAAUCAAAAAACGGGAUUAGGGGCGUUUUGGUCAUUCAGCAACCUGGGGGGUUCAAUGUCGUCGAGGUUUUUCUGGGAUUUCCGUCCCUUGCAGAGAGAGAGGUGGGAGAAGUAUGGGUGGCGUCGAGGGUUUUCUGGAUUUCUGUUCCUUGCACAUUGAGAGAGGUGGGAGAAGUAUGGGUUGCGUCCAGGGUUUUGUGGGAUUUUGUCUGUUGUAGAGAGAGGGAGGUGGGAGAAGUAUUGGUGCUGUUCCCAAGGUCCACCUCUUUCUUUCUCCUCUUUCCCCCUCCUCUCUUAAUUCUGAUUUAUAUUCUGAUUUGUGAAGGAGCCCGUGCUUUUCCUCAAACGGAUGUCGUCUUACUUGAUGAACGGCGGUACGUCCGAAGUCCACCCUUUGUUGUCGUUGGACCAUGAGGUGGAGCUGGCGGUGAUCAUCUAUUAGAAAGCUCGCGAUGUUCCGUAAUCCACCACCAUGUAUUAUGCCGCCAGUAUAUUUGUAAUUUUUGUUACUGUUUUUUUGUUAAUUAUUCAGUUUUUUUUUCAAGGUCAGUUAAUUAAUCAGUUAAUAGUGCUGCUGUUAAUGAUUUAGUUUAAUUAAUCAGUUAAUAAUGCUGCUGCUAAUGAUUUAAUUUUAAUAUAAUGAUGCUGUUAAUGAUUUGGUUUUGACUUUAAAUUUGAUUGGUGAAAAUUGGAUGGUUUAAGGCUAUGCACUUGCUUUGGAUAUGACUGCCAGAGAAAUUCAAGCUUCUGCUAAGGUAAUUAUCGGUAAUUGGAUUGUUUAAUGCAAUCAAACACGGUAGUGAAAUGUUCAAUUUUAUGGCUACAAGUUUCUAAUUAGAAUGCUAAUGCUGCAAUUCAUGAUGAUCAAUAUGUUCUGAUUUAAACAGUUACAUUGUUAGGACUAUAGAUUUGGAUUGAACUCAAUGUUGUCCGUGUAUAUAGAUGUGUGUGAAUAUAUGUGUGUAUAUAGAUUUAUACAUGUAGGGUAGAUGGAUGGAUAGGUGUAUGCCUAGUCCGUAAGAGAAGAAUAGAAAAUGAAAACAAACCAAAUAACUCGCAUUUAAAGCUCUUUUCUUUUUCUCUUUUGACGUAAAUCUCUCUUUGUUAGAUUGCUAGGGGGCUGCACUCUGUGAGGGUCAUGUAUGUUUUAUUACGGUCAUAUCUAUAGUUUUGGGAACUGGAGAAAAUAAGUGGAACAAACCAUUUGCACGGCAGAGGCCGACUUGAUUUUUUCUCGAAUUUGUAGUGCACCAAAAUGGUUGAAUAUAUAUGUGAAGGGGAUGAGAGAAGGCAGAUAGGCAAAUGUUGUAUCAGAGAUGAUUCCUUUACAGAGUUUGGUGCUUACAUUUGUAGUUUUAAGAUCGGUUUGGAUGUUUCAUAACAUUGAAGGAUCCCCUAUUCCAAGAAUUGUUGUUGCAUUCGAUUUUGUGAUUUAAAUGGUGAAAUAUAUCUAUGAACUGUCUUUUUUCUUGGUCAAAAUAUAAGUUUAUAUUGUACUAAUAAAUUAUUUUGAGUAUAUAUCUGAAUGCGGCUGGUGAUCUUGGACUCGGUUUGAUAUGUUGAUCGCUUUAAGCGAAUCACUUUGUAGCUUUGAUUUGAUUUUCAAGAGAUUUAGGCAUCCUAAUUCCUAAGAAAUCUAUUGAGCUAAGUUGUUUUAGGUAGGAAAUUAUGGUUGCUGGUGUUAGCAAUGGAUUGAGUCUUUCUAUUUGCUAUGAUUAUAUCUCUAAACAAGCAUGACUUCAAAUUAGGCGCAAAUGACAAAUUUUGUACACAAAAGAAAAUGGAUAGGUGUAUAUGGCUAUUAAUCUUUGUUUUUCUUCAAUUACGUUAUUUGAUUUUUUGGUUGUACUGCUGUGAAAUCAAAUUCGUUCGACGCAUUGCGCUACCAGCAGAAGCGUGAUGUUCACGAACUAUUUUCUUUCAAUUGCUCCUUAAACAUAAGAGGGCAUACUAGCAUAACAGCUCCCCGCAAGGUUUUCGAGUUUUUUGGUGAAUUUCUCUCUUUUUAUUUGUAUGUCUUUCUGUUGAAAUUAGGGAAUGCGCGGGCAGUUUUUCUAGUAAGUAAUAAAGCGGUAACCCAUACAAUUAACCUGUUAUAUAAUGAAUCUACUCCAUACAUAUUUGGAGUUUAGUAGUUUUCUUCCAAACAAAAACACUCAAAAUAUGAGUAUUUAACAAAUUUAAUUUAUUUCAUACAUAAUCGUGCUAGGGUUAUUAUGUUCCCCUUUUAGUGUUUUUCUUUUCCCAAUAAAUAUGGAACCAAACCUAUGAACUAUCUAUUUAACUCGUACACAAAAACCCAAUUAAAAACCAUGAAGCAAUCCAAGCAUUAUCAAAAUAGGUAAAAACAUAAACAUUGCUCAAAUGCAGAGCAAAGUACCAAUUGCCCCACCAAUUCCUCUUAACACAAAAAUAGACCUCAACGGAAGUGAAAAUGGGAACAAUCUGCAUCAUGGAGAAUUGGGUUAGCGCCAAAGAGAAAACCCAACCGAGAGAGACUACGUGAACGAGUUGAGGUAAAAGUGAAAAUGGAAGUGAAAUUACACCUAAAUUUUAAAAUUGAGAAUUUGAGGUUUCAAAUUCUAAAUUUUUUAUUUUUUCAUGCGAAAAUUUUAAAUUUUUAUACUUAAAAAUACAAAUAAGGGAAUUUGUAAAUUAUGAAUUUAUUCCAAAUUUCAAGUUUAUUUUAGUUAUCUAAACAUCAUGUAGCUUUUUUUUUGUUUUUGUUUUUUUUGUUUUUUAUGUCAAUAGACGAACAUUACUGUUGAACUGAGAUUUAGUAUAUGGAUAUUCUGUCAGCUAUCUUGACAGAUAAAUUCUGUCAGCCGUCACAGCAUGCGGUGUUUGUUUUAUUAUACACGUGCAGAGCACGUGAGGUCUCAAAUGGCGGCGUUGGUACCAGAAUCUUAAAGAGGGACAGUGUUCCACAUUGCAUCCCGUUUCCGCUAUCAUUCGAAACUCUCCGAACUCACAAAAUCGAAUCCAAUACGAAUACAAAGCACUAACAUUUAAUGGGCGGCGUCCUCUGUCGAGCUGCAGAGGUUGGGAACGAGACAGGCGCGGUUCUUGUCAUAACGGAGGUGUCGAUGUUUGAAAAACAUGAAAAGGAUGGGAAACUGAUCUGUAGGCUCAGAUCUGGAGAGAGCAUCUAUAUCAAGGGUAGGCAGUUCAUAAACCGAACCUCUGGUUCUCGUAUUCAGCGGAGCAUUCAUGUCACCGCCUUGAUUUCCGGCGACGAAACAGCGCCAAAUAUCUUGCCACCGAAAUGUAUCUUGGCAGCAAACGAUUUUGCCAAAUACGGGAAAGUCACUUUCCGGAUAGUGGACAAGAAACUGAAGUGUUACCCAGUAGUGAUCCCCGAUCUCCGCCGCUUGAGGUAAAUUUGAGAGCUUUACUCAGCUAAAUUUGUGAUGAUAUCGUAUCGAUUCCUAACCUAAAUUUAUGUGUUUUGCUUGUUAGGUUGGUAUCCCGUGUUGGAACAACAUUUGUGUGAGUGUACAUCGUCUCUCCUCUUUCUCUCUGAUUCUAAUAUCUAAUCUGUCCUUAACAAGUUUUGAUUUUCUACUUUGUGUUUUGAUUUUCUUGUUUUCUGAUCUGUGCUUAGAUAUCUAUUUUAAAGUUGGAGGAAUAUAAGAUUGGGUGGAACUGAAAUUCGGAUUUUGUUGUUUUCGAGAUAUGUUCUUUGAUUUUAUCUUUUGCAGGGUCUUGUGGUUUGCCAAUUUAGGGUUUUUUAUUUUGGUGAGUUGUAUCACUUUGCUGACCUGCUUGUCCCUCAUCUCUUUAUUCCGUGAACUAAGUUUUGAGGAAAUGGGUUUUGUUGGAAACUGUUUUUGUUCAUUCAACUUGGUGAUUUGUGUGUUUGAUGAUUCCUGUUCUGGUUCUGGUUCGGAUUGCAGGAGUCGUAACAUUGUUUGUGCUUUUUUGAGGUAUAGCCAUGAGAGAAAGCUUUUCUUUUCGAAUUAACAUCUUCUGCUUUAUUAUUUCUAGUUGUAUUGAAACCUGUAGUAUUCAAAGCGAUAAUUUGUAUUCAAAGGUAAUAUGAUUUUUCUGGUGGGAACAGCUCCCAAAUUUUGUAUAAUUCGGUAUGUCUUCUAUAUGUACAUUAAUAAAAGGAUUUUUGCUCUUUAUUUGUCUUGUUUACUUCAUUGAAACAAGUCCCUAUUCUAUAUUCCUUUCUUCCUUGCCUCUUUUUUCUCUUGUUCUACAUUGAAUGGCACCUCCUCUUCACUCUCUGGUUCUUCAGUGGAUGCGGCCAACCUUUCAAUUUCCCUGCUUCACUUUGUUCCGCAACCUACAGGGUGUUCCUUUUGCCCAAUUUUAGUGCAUCUAUCUCUUGCAAUCUUCUAGCCUGUUCUUGAAUAACGAAAACCAUUUCCUCUUUAAGAAGUGGGUGAUUUGUUCUGUUGUAGAGAAAGUUGAUAAAUAUAAGCUUGAUUGGAACUGGAAAUCAUAUUUGCAUAUUUGCAUACUUGGACUGUGUUGUUUUCUGGUAUGUCUUUAACAAUUGCUGAUUCAGAUUGUUAUAUAUUUUUUAUGCCUGUUAGGGUUUGAGAUGAACUUUGAAAUUAAACUGGGAAAUCUAUGAUUCAGUUGCACUUUAGUGAGCAGGUUGACUAAACAAGUGCAUAAUACUCCAUCACAUUAAAAUACCAUCACUUCGCAAUUUCAUACUUUGAAGUCCGUCACCCAAACACAGUUUUUGACCUGCCCUAUACUUUGGUCUCGUGAAUUUUGCCAAUGUAGUUCAGCCGCAUUACUUAUCAGCCACACUUCAAAAUAGCCACAACCAUGGCCUUCUAAAUGUCACAGAGCUUAUUAACCACAUAUAAAUUUAGAGUAUUGUUUUUUGUAGUGCAUCACUUUGUUGACUGGGAUUUAUAAUUUUCUGUGGACUGAGUUUUGUGGAAAUGGGUUUCGUCGCGAAGUGUUUAUUUGUUCAUUUAACUUUUCAGUUUUGGUGAUUUGUGUGUUGGAUGAUUUUCUUACAUGGUUUCUUUUCUGGUUUGGGUUUGCAGGAGUCGUUAAAUUUGGCUAUAGUGAUAAUGGAAAGUUCGAAUGAACGAUCGGCAUUGGUAGAAAGGAUCUGUAUUCUAACAUAUAAUUUCUAAGGAUUUUAGCUUUUGUUAGCGAUUGGGUGAAAACAGUAUCUUGCAAACUUCAGUGUUUUGAUAAUGUGCAUUUAUAAGGAUUUUAGCUCUUGUUAGCGAUAUUUCAAAGUUUUAUAUGCAAUAUACCCAUGUCUGGCCCUCUAUGCCGGUCACAGAGGCCAUGGAUUCUCGAUGCACUUCGGUGCGUCGAGAUGUCUAGUUACUGAUUUUUCAGGACUGUCACUGGUUCCGAUCACAGCAUGACUGGUACUGAGUUUCUAGUCAAUAUUUGACGUUGAAUCUGUGUAUCAUUUUCUUCAAGCUUUUGUGGAGAGGUAUCAACAGUAUCUUCGGUACUUAAAAGCCGAGUUGCCUGAGAUCCCAGUUAGAUCUCGAUUUUUCGGUGCCUAAAAUGUGUCGAUAGAUCAUGUGUCAUAAUAGAAGUGUGGACAAUUAAAAAUAUAUUCCUUUUUCCACUUGUAUUAUGAGUCCUGACACGUGAUAUACCCGUUUAUGUUCCUAGUAUAUAGAAAUAUCUUUGCACUUGAUCAAUAAACACCAGUGCUUAAAAUCUUGUUAUCGGUGAAAACUGAUAUAUCCGAAUAUCAAAUAUUGAUAUCGAUAUUGAUUGUUUUCGAUGGAAAUGAUAGAAAUUUAGAAUAAAACUUUAGAGAUUAUUAAACAUUGGUUUAGACGAAAUAUAUGAGUUUUUCUGAUAUUUAACAAAUAAGUCAAAAAUAUCAACAGUAUCUAUCGAUUUUAGCUUAAAUUUGAGAGCUUCUCCAAUGAAAGGUGAAGUUUAGACUCUAUCCUUAUUUUUGUUUUUUUAAAUAUUUCUAUAAAAAUAUCGAUAGUAUCUAAUAAAAUGGACGACACUGAUAAACGCCCAACUUACCACGGGAUUAUUUCACCUUCGGACAUUCCAAAGGAUAAGGAUGUGGCAACCAACGAGGAAAGUCUUAGAUUUUUAAUUUGGCAAACGCCACCUUGCCUUUUUAAAAGGGUACUCUACUAACUUAAUAUUUACUAGCAUACGAGCGAAUACAAAGUGUGCAGGAAAUUCUUUUAUUUUUGUUUUUAAAAUAGAGAUAGAGAGGAAGAGUGAGAGAACGUGUGAGUGGAGAGAGAAGAGAGUGAGGCCUUGAAAAGAAAAAAAAACAAAAUUUUUGUUGUGUAAAAUUACACUUCUGUUCAUAUAUUUUAUUCAUGUUCAAUUUUAAUUAAAGGAUUAAAAUAAUAACUUCAUAAGAAAAUUAGAUUUGAGCUCGUUUACCUAUAAUAAUGUAUUGUAUCAUCUCUUAUUUUAUCUAUUAUUAUCUAAAUUAUUUCUUAAUAAAAUUAUUUUUUUCAAGCAAAAAAAAAGUAAAAAAACAAUUUAAUCUUCUAUCACAACAUAUAACCAUAGAUAGAUGGAAGUUUUAACGAAACGCAUACGGUACUGUUCAUUUUAACGAAAAAUCAUAUUUUUACACUAAAAAAUCAAACAUGGUACUAUUUACUUUACCAAUUAUUUUGUCCUUAUCAUUAAAACUCAAAGUUUUCAAACCCUUUUCAUUAAUUUUCCUUAGAUAGUAAUGUAGUUUGCACAAAUCAAUUUUUUUUCUCUUUUCAAAUCUCACCAACACAUCAUCCUAGCACAUUUUUUAAUUUAAAAAAUAAAAACCUCUCUCCUCACUCUCUUUCUCUCUCCUUUCUAUUUCAAAAUAAAAAAUAAAAAAUGUUGACACCGUCACACACAGAGUUGGGCACAUGCUAGUUAAAAAUAACUAAAAAGUAGGUAAAUAAAAAAUUGCCUUGAAAAUCUUUGACUUAUCUCUCUUGAAAAGACAAUUUUUAAUCAUUUCAAAUAAACUAAAAACACUGCUUAGAGCCUGUCUUUAUCUCCUAAUCAAGUGGUUCCGGUAUAUCAUGUCCAGAUGCAAUUUUAUGGAAACAAACAACAAAAAAUGAAAUCUUAACAGUUUACACUUGGUAUACAUUGCUAUUUGCUUAUAUACAUAUAUAUAUAUAUAUUCUGCGUAAAAAGGAACUCAGGUGAAAUAUUUGCCCCGAUCUGCGGCAGCGGAGGCACCAAAACUAGUUCACACCGCUAUGAAAAUGGGCAUAGAUGUCGAAACUUGUUGUAGAACAAAAUCGCGGGGCUACUGGAGCCCAACCCAGUAUGAACGUCCGUUGCUGUUGUGAACUGGUGAACUGGCGAACUGGAGGGCGAAGCCACGCACCAUUCGUACCAAACCUGCAUCACCAUCACCGAUCCAUAUGAACUAGGCUUAUUGUUCAUAAAAAACCGAAAACACGUCAAAGAGAUGCAGCAGCACACUAUUCUUUUGCUCAAAUAUAUUAUUAUCCCUUGGAUAAUGGCCUCAAUCUUUGUUAAACAAGAAAGAAUAUUACCUUGGUAGGAUGACAACACCGCCAGAAAUGUAGUUCAAGAGAAGCGCCAGGACUAAGCGUAAUAGGUGUCCUUAGUGGGAAAAAUAUCGGGAACCUGAGGGUAACGAUAAACAGCACGUAAGCCAUACAACUACCGCAUAAGCUUUAGCCAUCAUGUGUUUAGCACUUAUAGAACAAGUAACCAUUAAAAAAAUAAAAUAACUAGGGGGAAAAAUUGAAUAUUUUCUUCAAGAACUAAUAAUCGUAAAGAAAAAGCAAAGCACAAACGAUGGCAAGCGGUAGCCUAACAAGAAAAGGAUAGGAGGGACUGCAUUACCAGCUAAACAUGUUUGGUGUUGAUGUUGAUGGUUCAAUGCCAAGAUGAACUUCUUUGUAUAAUGUUGCAUCAAAAUAGCCAGCAAAUCCUGGAGGUGUAGAAAAGAAAUUUUAGUGACGCGAAAAAUAGGCCCAAUGAGUCAACAGCACAAUCAAAGUAGAAUUUAGUCAUGUUCACAAAAUGCAACAUACUGACUUAUUUUCAUUCAAGAAUAUUAAUCACCUAAAGAAAAACUACGCCGCCACAUACCGUGAAUCAUGGCUGAGCCAGUAUCACUUGUUAUUCCAAACUGCAACUUCGUGUACCGGUUAUUGCUUUUGUCAGUAGAGCGUUUUGAGUGAUCAAACGUGAAAACCUAACAAAAAAUCCAGUGUUCGUGACUAAAUGAUUGCCGAAUAAUGACUCCCUAUACAAUCCAGUUCAUAAAAUUAAUUACCGAAUCAGUCCAGUGAAAAAAACUCACAGGUUGAGGAAGAGCAAGUCUUCCAAUGUUGUGCAAUUUAACAACAUAAGCAGUUUCAAAGUGUGCAAUAUCUUUGUGCGCGACUUAACCUGAAAGAUAACCACAAAACUUUACAAUGGAAUCUUCAAACAGAUAGAAAUGAAAACCUUUGGGCACAAAGACACGGGCAUACAUCAUUGUAAAGCUUUGAAGCAGUCACCGGUUGGAUAAAACCCGUGUACCUGAAAACAGGCGCAUAGGCUUUUUAGAGAAGACGCUAAUGGAGAAAACUCCAAAAAAUAGCUUUCAAAUGGAAGUAUUGAUGUUGAACAUUUAGACACCAUGAAAUCUGGACAAUCUCACGACAAGAUAUCACAAUGUCAAUACUGACUUUUGGACAGAUCAUAACAGGGAAGCACCUUUGAUAAAAAAUACAAAAUAAAGAAAAAAGUAUCCAUACGAUGAAGGUAUCAAGAUUCCAUCAUCCUUCAAAAGUCUCUGAGCUCCAUCAAGGCACUCAGGAGACAGCUCGUUAUCACCAAAAGAACCCAACAAUUCACUAACCUAUUACACAAUCAAAGGCAAUGUUAAUAAGGAAACCAAAAAACAAAAAUAUGUUAUUAUAAGAUUACUUGCAUACCAAAAUGUCAGCUUUCUCUGGAGCAUCCCAGUAACGCAUAUCACAUGAAAUUAUGGAAACAAUGUUUUCCCACACCUCCAGUUUAACCAAGCUCUGCUCCAACAAACAUAGACACGUCAAAAUAAAAAAUGUGUAAGAUGAAAAAACAAGGAAAGUCUACUUCAAACAAAUACCCACAGUAACACCUUUUUUGUGUUAAUGUACAGCAUGAUGAGUUGCACAUCCUAGAAACAUAAUUUUACAACUUAGCAUAGAAAGAAACAAGAUAAAGAGAGAAUUUGCAACUCACAUGAAGUGUAACAACUGCAUUUGGAUUUUUUUCGACAGCGUACACUUUAAGCUUGCGCCCAGUUUCUUCAGCUGCCUACAUAUGAACAAGUGGAAUUGGAUCCACAUCAAUAUGACCUGCUACAUAUAAUAUCAAGUCUGAAGAUAAACAACAUAAUCUAAAAACAAGUACGCAGAAGGAAGAGAAGGCACCUGCAAUGAUGCCCUUACAAGAGGUCCACGUCCUGCUCCUAAAACCAUCAAUACCUUAACACAAAUGCAAAUAUCACAUAGGCAAUGUCAGGACAUUUUGUCAUCAAACUUAAUAAAACACCAUUCAUGAGUAACUUGGGAAAGCAAAGUGACAAGUGAGCAGCUUACGGUAGUUACAGAAGAUGCCUUGUCAUCUGGAACCCUGUCCUGUAAAGCUUUACAAAUUGCUCUUUGGUACUAACAAAGAUAAGAACAAACUAUUACAAUUUAGAUCAAUAUAAAGUAAUAAGCAUUACUAUGUCUUCCCUUUCAGAAGAAACCUCGGUCCCUCCAAGAAGAAAAAGAAAAAGGAAAAAUAAACAUAAACAAAGUCCAAUGUGUUGUUGAUGUAUUUAAAUAUGAUUAUAAAAAAGGUCGUACCCAGUGCACAAGACUCCCGCUUUACGCAGGGUCUGGCAGAUUAGAAAAUAACAAUGUAAAAAUAUCUGAAAUGAUCGUUUAUGCAAUUAUUUGCAAAUGCAGGCAUACCUGAAUAUAUUUCAUUGUGUCCUUCUCAAAUGUCUCAUAGGUUUGAGCUUCUAGAUUAUCCAUGAGAGGCUGCAAUAGAAUAGCAGAGUUAGCCUAACUUGUAUUUGAUUACAAGAGGAUGGAAAAUCACAUGUAACAAUGAAAAUAGGAAAAGAGCGAUUAAGGUAUGUACUAAUCAAAAGACAAUAAUCCAAUCACUUGGGAAAUAACCGUACCUGUAAGGGUGACGGCAAGUAAUCCCUGUAACCAAUCUGCCAUAAGAGACUUAAAGGGUUAGAAAAAAUUAAGAGCUGGGAAAAAAAUUUCCAAAAUCCAAAUACACACGCACAGAGAAAGAAAGAGAGAGGGAUAGGCACCUCAAGCCGUUCUUGCUCCGGAAGGGGAUCCAUCCUCUGGUAGAGAUAGCCAACAUAAUCCAAAUAUAGCCUCAACGGAUGUUGCUGGACACCUGGAUGUCAAGAAUAAUAUAAGACAAUGGACAUAGCUAUUAAGAAACUCAACUUAUAUGGUUGGGGUAAUCGCUUUAUGAAAAUACAUUGUGUUAAACUGAAAGUGUUUUCUUUGUCUAGGUAUCUUCUACCUUGCUUCUUGAUUUUGUUCUGUGUCAGCAAAAUUAAUAAAUAAAUGUUUUCCCUUUACAUUGUUUCCUUCAUAUUUGUAUUUGAUCUAUAUGAAUCCUAAGGUUCAGAAUCGAACAAAAAUCAUUUAGGAAAUAAAAGUAGCACUUUAAAAGACAACUUGAAGCACUUGAAAAAUAACUAAGUUACAUAUAUUGGCUUAGCUUUUCUGCCUCAAAUAGUUCAAUUACCAUACAAGUUUCUAUUAUUCAAGACAAUGCACUUGUAUACAGAAGGUAGGUCUUACCAUCAACAUUAUUAUCAUUAUCAUUGGCAGCUAUAAGUGAAUUUAUCUUGGGAAGACUAUGCACUGGUUCUCCUGAUAGAACUAUCUGCAAUUAAAUUUUCCAUGAUGACAAAGAUUAGAAAAUAUUGCAAGAAGUUGACCAUAAGAUCUAAAACAAACUAACGAUGUCUAUAAAGAAUUUUUGCAACUACAAAAUCAUACUUAGAUUGGAACUUGCUUGAGAUUGUAAGUAACUUCUGAGCAAUAACCAUAGAAACAAUUCGGAAAGAAGGUAAACCAUAAAAAGAAAUGUUAAACUAUGGGUUGCUUAUGCUGCAAUGCACAGAAAUGGAAAACAAACUCCAACGGUACAUAGAAAUACCAUUGAUAACUUCUUCUUAAAUACCUGCAUGGAAUGAUUGAAAAGCCCAUGAACAAGAUUCUGGUGGCGCUUUGACAGACAUGGAUAGCCUCAGGCAUUUGUUAGAAAGCACUGGCAAUGAACAAGACCACUAUUAGAAAAUUAAGCAACAAUCGAACCAACAAGUAAUCAACUUAAGGUUUCCCUAAUACACCAAUUAGCAUAUAAUUACAUCAGUACUGAAUAUGGCUGCUCUAACAGAUUCCCCAAACCAGCGUCCAAGAGAGUUUACAGAAGGUAGUGAACUCCUGAGGAGAAAAGAAAGUUGUUCAGAUUAAAAUAAAAUGAAAAUUACUUCAGGCACAAUCAAAACACAUAAACACAAAUCACACAAGUUAUAAGAAAAUGGUCAUUGUUACACUUACAAAACAUCAAGAGCAACUGAUAACUGACUGUGAUGUUCACAUAGCAUGCAAAAUGAAUUCCAAAUCUCCCAAGAAUCAUCCUGCAAAAAAAAAAAAAAAAAAAAAAAGUUAAAGAAAAAUGAGUUUUAUCAUCUGGUAUGUGAAAUUGUCAAUCAUCAUGCCAUUAUUUCACACACAUAAAGAAGGCCAAGUUUAAGCAGAAGGUUUAAACCCCAUAUAAGUUUGACUACCCAACUGAAUGCACAAUAAAAAAGAGGCAACUCUCCACACCCGACCUCCCUCUUUGGUAUACGACAUCUAACAACAAAGCCUUUAUACGGACUACAAAAGAAGAUCAAGUACUACACAUCCCAACUCAUCAUGCUUAUUAGUAGAUUUAGCACAAGAGUUAUCAUUUUGUAGGGUCAACAAGAGCCAUAUGCAACAGAGGUUGAACAUCUAUGUAAAAUGCAGUAUAUAUUAGCCAAGAGUCAUGAUAUAAGUUGAAAAACCAGUCGCUGGAAACUACGAGCUCCACCAAAAGAAGGAAAUAAUUAUCAAAAUGGUAAACCUAUUUUGAAAACUUAAUCAGAAGGGACAUCACUCACCGAGGUAUCAGUGUUUACAUCCAUGGUUUCACUGUCUGACUUGACCAAUGGAAGCCGCAACCACAACUACAAUAGAACAUAACAUGAAUGGAAAACCCAAUGAGCUCAAAAAGUAGAUUACACAAACAGGUCAAAAUAUGUAAACUGAUUUGGAUUAACAAUGGUACCUGCGUACUGCUUAGGCCCUGUAAAAGCUGAUUUACACAUCGAGCAUAAUUAGCACAGGAUUUCCCCUUUGGAGCUGGAAGAAGGCAUGCCUGCACCAAGCAAUAGAUGACAAUUAAAAGCCAGCAAGACAGUAAAACUCAAUAACCAUUUUCCAGAAUCAAUUAUUAGCAAAGCACACAGAAAAUUAUUCAGCUUAGCAUGUGGCCUGAGAUAGCAAUUCAAAUAUUUCACAACACUGCAGUUCCAAUAAAUAAAUAAACAAAUUUCAAUGCUAUCAACCUGCAGGGACAAAUGAGAAGCCCAUGCUAUAUCUUGCUUCAAAGUAGUUUCUGAAUCGCACCGGAGGAUCUCAUCUUCUGAAUCUAAGUCAAUCCAUGAGCUAACCUUUCCUGAAUAAAUUCAAAAAACCACUAUGAGCAGUCAUAGGAGACAAGGGAAAAUGUGGUUGAAAAGUAAACAGGCUUAUCCCAUCAAAUCCAUUAUUAUUCAGCCAAGUUCUUAGUAAACAUAAAACUUAAGUUGAGUAAAGUCCAUUAAAUUACCAAGAGAAGACAAUGUAACACAAGCAAAGUCUAGAGAAGUACAUACCAACGACAUGACCACUCCAUUGGGAAGGACUCAAAACCAAGUCUGACCCAGCAAAUGGAAGAACACCAGAAACACCACUGUCUUUUUGCAUUAAGCUUGGUCGGUAAGCAGGAUCCAUCUACAUCAUGAAGUUGAAAAAGAAUCACUACCCUUUGUGCAAGUUGUGCAUCAGUGAUCAAAGAAAGCAAAGGGGGGAAAAUGAUCAUACACAGACAAACACUUAGCAGUACAAACAAUUUGCUGAACAGAAGUCAGAAAAUUAACACCACAUGAAUAUGUAAUGCAUUUGACAUACAUGACAGUCGAUACCAAACAAGCUAUAAGAUAAAAACCUUUGUAGCUCAAAGGAAAGUCCUCAUAGCCACCAAGGAUAAGAAAUACAAAGGUGUCACAAAUUUAACAAAGUAUUAAUAACCUAAAGGUGAAACCAGAGGUUACAGUUCACCAUUAAGGACUACCAACAGAGCCUUACUUUCGGUGAGCUUACUGAACAUUCACACAAAACAGAAGCCAUCUCUGGCUAUAUGUGACUGGCUAAUUAGCCACCAAUUGCAAAGAAAUUUCCCAAACGCCGACAAAACAAGUCUGCCAGACAACAUAGAAACAUUAACUAAGAAAUUCAUACCCACAAAUGAUUGACAAGGAAAUAAUCAAUAUUUACGAUCAUUUCAAAUGGAAACUGAUAUUGAUGUAGUUAGUGGCUGUGGAGUGAAGCUCUAUUGUCGAGCAGCUGCAUAAGCAACAUCCACCAACAUGGCAUUGCUGUCGGUGAGCUUACUGACCAUUCACAUCAUAAAAAACAGCUGAAAAGCCAAUUAUGUGACUGGCUAAUUGGCCACCAUACAAGAAUUACAAAAAACAAGUUUCAAUUGACUAUUUCUAUCACUCCUCGACAAAAACAACUAUACAAGUCAUAUCAACAAACAAUUGGAGUGAAUCAUCAACAUUUCUAAUAUUGUUAAGUCGAAUUUGAUACUAAUGUAGUUAGUGGCCGUAGAGUGAAGCUGCAUAGUCGAGCAGCUGCACGAGCAACAGCCACCAACGCGGCAUUGCUAUUGGUGAGCUUACUGACCAUUCACAUCAAAAGAGAAGCUGCGAAGCCGAUUAUGUGACUGGCUAAUUGGCCACCAUUUCCAUACGAGCAUCACAAAACACAAAUUCCAAUCAACUUUUCCAUUCAUUCCUCAACAUAAACAGAAGAAUCAAAUGAAAUACGAAAUUUGAAAAAUAAUUAGGAAAAAGAAAGGAGAAAUGUACGGACCAAAGGAGCGAGGACGAAGUCGAAGGAGCCAUGGGAGAGAUUGAAAGCGAGGACGUGGGGCAUGUCAUCGUUGAACUCGGUCUCCACGCCGCAGAACCGAGACUCGCUCUUGUCGCCGGCUCUUUGCCCGAGUGGCAUUUUGCUCCACGCAGAGCAGGAGGAGGAGAGUGUGGAAGUAGAGUAGGGUUUUGGUGGGGUUUUUGAUUGAUUUGAUGUCAACGGAAAUGAGCUGCGUCUAAAUAGGGUUUGCGGAGCUUUAGGACUAGGGUUUUUUGGGUAGACGGGUUUGACCGGAUUAGUUUAACGGAUAAGAUUGAAUUUUAAUUUGUGGCAUGAAAAGCCCAGUGGUAAUCUGGGUUGUUACGGCCCAGCCCUAAGAACCGAAGCAUAAUUCUGUAUUCGAUUUCUCAUUGCAGGCAUCAUAAUCAAAAACCGUUGGGCUUUUUUCAGCUGGUCUAGGGCCCUCUCUUGCAGCUCUUAUGUGAAUACUCUUCAAGAUCCUUUGUUUUCGAUUAUCUAAUAAAUCACUUAAUGGAAAUAGAUUAUCUUUCCAUUACAUGAAUUAUUAAACAAUCGAAAUCGUUUGGAUUACUAACGAACAAAAUUUUAGAUGAUUCAUCUUGAAAAUCUUAAUAGUUAACAAAAUAUUCGGUUUGUUUGAUACAUAUGAAUUAGUACUAAACGAUCACUAAUUUGAUCGAUUUUUUGCACAAAUAAGCUUUAACUUGUGAUAUAAGAAAUAACAUAACCUUUCAUUUUUUUUUAAAUAGAGAUUAGUUGUGAAACUCACCCUACAUCAAACUUCAAUGAUCCGAAUUGUCUAUUUUGUAAGUCUCGAUUCAUAAAUUAUCCUUGCAAAAAUUCAAUUUAAUCCUAAACUAUUUCUUAUUUAAUUAUCACAAUGAAAUUUCAUUAUUUCUUAUAGAACAAAGUGUUCGUCAAUUUCUUUAAACUCAGUUAGAUGUCUCAAAUAUUUUCAAAUUGACUAAUAUUUUAAGGAUGAUUUAAGAAGUGCAACUUGAAAAAUAGAUAGUUCGAAUUAUUAAAGUUCGAUGUGGUGUAAACCCCACAACUAAUUCCCUUUUAAUAAAAAAAUGAUAUCCCUUUCUUUAAAGGUUUGCUAAGAAUUAAAUAGCAACUACUAACUAGUGGAAAGAAAAUUUGAGGAAGAGUUGGAGAGGUCAAUUUAAAAAGUUCAUCAUGCUUCAUUUUACCAAAUCCAUAACCACAUAUAGAUAGUACCGAACAAUCUCCAACCGUAUCUACACGCAUUUUCACUACAUAAAGUUGCUCGACACGCAAGCUUACGAACAUAGAUAGGAAAUAGAAGAGUACUUAUGAAACAGACAUCCUAGCCGCUUCUCGCGACGCUAGC